This 71292-nucleotide long non-coding RNA is filed under the name Linum usitatissimum (flax). RNAcentral describes it as "long non-coding RNA (LUSI_LNC006061)". Lineage: Eukaryota; Viridiplantae; Streptophyta; Magnoliopsida; Malpighiales; Linaceae. The record is from RNAcentral.
GGCUGCCGGCGGAUGGAUCGGCGGUUGGAGUUCCUGUUGUUCAGGUCCGAUUGAGAAAUAGAGGAGAGGAGAGGUGCCGUGUCGAUUAUGUCAGAGGACGACGAUCCUGCCCGUGACGGCGUUGACGUUGCUGCGUCGGUCGACAUGGUUUGACUCUGGAAUCUAGAUGUGUUUGAUCGUGUAUUAGCUUCUUGUGUAAAUCUCAAUAUGGGGAGGGUUUUGCCUCCAUGGAUAGAGGAGGUGGAGAAAUGUGAUUUCAGAACAUUAAUGGAGAGAAAAUUCGGCAGGAGAGGAUGAUUGAUUGGUUAAUUCGCCUGAGACCUAGAUGAUCCACAAAAUGAUGAGCUGGAUUUGAUUUAGAGAUCAGAUUAAUAACUAAGAAGAUUUUAAAUUUUAAAUUAUGAAAUUAUGCGUCGGCAAUGGAAUGGGUAAGUUGGCCCAAACUAUCGGGCCGGAGAAAGCCCAUUUCUUUCGCAACUCCUCUUCUAACUUCUUCAAGGUUUUCCAGGUAAGGUUAAAUAAGAGAGGUAAGCGUCUGUCUAGGGUUUUACGAGGACAGAAGACCCAGAGCAGCAGCUGGAGGAGGAUAGCUGCGGUGACUGAAACCUACAUCUUAUCACCAUGGUUCUGAAGUUCGUCUUCUUCACCUUUCUCCAUCUGUUCUCGUUGUUUCGUUACUUCCUGUACCAACCGCACUAUUGCUUCAAUCCGAUUCAAAUUGUUAGUUUCACGUUUUCCGGUGGUUUGUAGGAUGGAAUGAUCAGCAGACGUAGUUCUCUUGUAGACUUUGUUCAUUUCUUAUGCUUAACUGGGCGAUUGCUGAUGUCGCUCUCUUCUGUUCUAUUAGGACUGAGCUAUGCCGUUUCAGCGGUCAAAAGAUCUAUCCCGGCAGGGGCAUCAGAUUUAUCCGGUCUGAUUCUCAGGUAAUAGCUCUUCUAAUAUCUAUAUGACGAUAUCCCUCAACACCUCAUGAUGAUUCACUUAGCUAUAAUCUGUCUCUUGUUGAAUAAUUCUAUGUUUCUUCAAUUUUGGUGUAGGUUUUCCUCUUUGCCAACUCCAAAUGCAAGAGGUACUUCCACAACCGUCUGAAGCCUUCCAAGCUUACCUGGACCGCUGUGUUCAGGAAGCAGCACAAGAAGGUAAUGACCCAAAUUUUGCUUCGUGCUUUGUUGUUUUGGUGGAGAUGCGUCUAGGUCUUGUUGCAUUUUGCUUAGUGUGGUAAUUGUUUGUGCUGUUCUUCUAGGAUAUUGCUGCUGAGGCUGUGAAGAAGAAGCGAAGGACCAACAAGAAGCCUUACUCGAGGUCUAUUGUCGGUGCUUCCUUGGAGGUGAUUCAGAAGAAGAGGGCUGAGAAGCCGGAAGUCCGUGAUGCUGCUCGUGAAGCUGCCAUUCGGUAUGCUUACUACCCAACUGUCAUACGACAUGGCUUUUUUGAAUUGGGAUUUUCAAUGUAGUAUGAUUGGAUGUUUGCUGCAGUGAGAUCAAGGAGAGGAUCAAGAAAACCAAGGACGAGAAGAAGGCGAAGAAGGCUGAAGUUUCAAAGUCACAAAAGGCACAAGGUAAGGGUGCUAUGCCCAGGGGUGCUGCACCCAAGGGAGGACCCAAGCUUGGCGGUGGCGGUGGAAAGCGGUAAAUUUAAUCCGACACUUUCGCGACGAGUUUAUGUACUAGGCAGUAGAAUCGAGUUAAGAAAACGUUUAUGUUCGCUCCCUACUUUUGAAUACUUCCACCAAAUUUCUUUCAAGAGAUUUUGCACUUUGUAUCGAUCUUGAGAUGCGACAAAUCAUCUUGUGCGGAUCCACUCGUUUGCGUAGUGUUCGACAUAUAUCUUUGCAUAUUUGGAGUUCAUAUAGGCAGGCUAGUGAUGUUUUCUUCCUUAAUUUUGAAGUAGGACUUUGAAGUCCUAUUUCUGGACAUGUGAUUGAAUACAUUCAUUUCGAGACACCGUUUGCUCUGUCUAGUCCUCCGUUUACUGUCUAUGUUGAUGAUUAUGGAGCUCUUGCAGACGUUCUUUUCCCUGCCCAUCUGUUCGGAAAGUAGAUCACCAACCAUUUUGGUGUUCAUUACAAGGUGACAGGAAAGAUCACAAGUUGCGGUGCGAACUCGUAAAACAAGAGAACUGAGUAUUUCGUACCAAUAAAUGGACAGCUCGAUUAGACGAUUAGCAAACUGCGACACAAUAGGACAGAAAUGGAGAUUGGAUGGCCAUGUCUGCUCAUUGUUCAAUUACCCUUGUGGCCUUGUGGAGAUUACUAUAAGCAAGAUUUUCGAGCAACACAUGAAUGAUCUUCGAAAAUAUAAUGAGAUCCUACAGAGCAAACAUCACUUAUCAAUCGCCUUACAGUCUGAUGGUACUUGUGGUAGACCAUUGAUCGUUGAUUUAUCAAAUUUGGAUCUAGGUGUUACAUCUCACAUACAUUUACUAACACACAUGUAGUGUUUAAUGUUGUUGAAGUUGUUUAACCAGAUUACAAUUAUUGAUCAUUCACUUUAUCAAACAUAUCUCAUCCGAUCAUGCAGCUAAAUUUAUAAAAGGAAUACGAACGCACUGUCAAUAGAUUUAUAAAUUUGACCAUGAAAAUUUAAGUUUGAAUUUCUAUCCAUUUCUCCGGAAAUAUCUGAAUUUCAAAUGUUUUUCCACAACUUCCCUUUCAUACCCCGCUCAAAUUGUAGCCGUCAGAUCAGGUCGGAGCUGAAAUCAAUUGUAGCCGUCGGAUUUACCUAUCUGGACGAUCAGACCGAACCCUCUAUCUGAUCAUUAGCAUUUUCGGAGAUGCAGAGCAUAUAAAUAGCGGACUAUCACGGCAGUUUAUAAAUUCGUUCUCCAGAAUUUUAAAAUUUCGACAACUCAAAGUCAAAUCUUUCCCGCCAAAGUUCUCUGCGGUUUCUUCUUGAGCACUGUACAGCAAUUCUGCAACCCAAGGGCCUGAAGUUUGUUUCAUUUACUACUGGGAGAAUUUUUCAAUCGCACCCCGAGAAAUGGAGCAAUCGGCUGUCUCAAUUGUGUCCUUCUGCUGCUUCCUUCUCUGCUUCUCGAGCUUCGCGUCGGCCGGAGUGGAGAUUCUCUCCAAAUCAAAAGUUGAGAGGUGCGAGAAGGGAUCCGACGCCGGCGAACUCAACUGCACGAGAAAAGUCGUCCUCAACAUGGCAGUUCCAAGUGGCACCGUAAGUGACUCUUCCGUUACUUUUACGUACGAUGGGUUUGCCUGAUUGUCAAUCUGCUGAUCUGUAGAGUGGGAAAGAUUCCUCGAUCGUGGCGGAAAUAGUGGAAGUGGAGGAGAACUCCACCGACUACAUGCAAACGCUGCGAACGCCGCCUGUGAUAACGAUUAACAAAUCUUCUGCGUAUGCACUUUACCAGCUUACGUAUAUUAGAGUAUGAACUUCAGUGUUGGUUGGUUUCAUUGAAUUACUUUAGCCUUUCCACAAGUGAUGCUUUAAUUGACAUCUAAAUUCCUGUGUUGGGUUAUUAUUUCCAGGAUGUUGCUUACAAACCUGUUGAGUAUUAUGUUAAGACGCGCAAAUGUGAGCCAGAUGCUAAUGAACACGUCGUGCAGAUAUGCGAAAGGCCAGUAUUCUUAUCUUAGACUCAACUUGAAGUUACUGCCCUGGAUCCAUUCUUUGUUGCUUUUAUGGAUGUUAGGAUUGAAGUAGUUAUCUCUAUUUCCUUUCUGUCUGCAGAUUGCAAGAUGAAAAUGGUCGUGUUAUUCAGCAUUCGGAGGUGAAAGCUUUAAGUUUUUAUAUUUCCUUGACAGUCUUUUUUAUUGGUUUCAAGUUUUGAUCAGUGAGAUUCUAAUCUCUACUUGCUAUGUUCCCUCCUAUCAGCCAGUCUGCUGUCCUUGUGGGCCCCGUAGGCGAGUACCUUCAUCGUGCGGAAACUUCUGUAAGCACACUGUUUCCUUUAGGCAUCUCCAAAUAUAACAUGCACAAUGGACAUGUUCCAGUUUCCUGUGAUUGAUUGAGUUUUGAGCUUCCUUUUUCGAUGGUCAGUUGAUAAAUUGGUGAAAGGAAAGGCAAAUACAGCACACUGCGUCAGAUUUCCAGGUGAUUGGUAUGAUAUUUAGGCUGUGUCUUGUAUAUAUUUUCUGUUGUGCAUGGUAGCAAUCAUAUGUAUCUGAGUUAAUGCAGAGAACUAUCUUGUCUUCUUCUUUUAUGGUUGUGCAAUGAUCAUUCAGUUAUCUUGUUAUUGAUGAUAAAUAGUGAUAUUGGGAAUAACUCUACAAGGAAGCUGUGUGUUUUAACAUUACUACUCUUGCGCCUCUUUAGCUCUUAAUGUUGUUGACUUCAUUGCUGAAUGAAAGAAUUGUGCCAUAUUUGGUAUGUUGUCUUUGAUAUGGGUCAAAAUUGGUGCUCUUGCACGCACGAAUGCAUCGUGUCAGUAUCUUUUAAGUUCUGGUGACCUGUGAAAUCAGGAUAAGGAUAUGCUUUUAUUUUAUGGCGUUAUGUUUGCUUACUGUUGGGUUUCAUUUAUUUUAAAAUAUUUUUCUGAACUUGCAGAAGUCCCAUACUAUUAUGUUUCUGCUUAACUAUGCUGUCCGUUUAGGUUUCAUGUAUUUGGGAUUGGCCAGAGGUCAGUUGGAUUUAGUGUCAAAAUCGAAGUGAAGGUUGGAUCUACAAUCUCGGAAGUGAUUUUGGGCCCUGAAAAUAGAACAGCUACAUCAAAUGACAACUUUCUAAGAGUUAAUCUAAUUGGAGACUUUGUUGGGUAUUCUAGCAUUCCUUCAUUUGAAGACUUUUACCUUGUUCUUCCGAAGCAGGUAUGCAUUUUCGGAAUCUCGGUUCUUGCUUUCCUAUUGCUACAAUGUGUUUUUCGUUACUUUGUUGACUGUAUAUGCUGUAAUAUAUUACAGUUGAGAUUUAUCUUUGUUUGAAGGGGGAUUCUGGACAGCAAGAAAUGGGGAGGAAUUUUUCCAUGUGGAUGCUACUUGAAAGAGUUAGAUUUACCCUGGAUGGAGUUGAUUGCAAUAAAGUUGGAGUUAGUUAUGAGGCGUUCAUUGGACAAGCAGAUUUCUGUGCCUCACCAUUCUGGAGCUGCUUACAUAAUCAGCUAUGGAACUUCUGGAAUGUUAGUAUAUACUUCCGGCUUAGUUUUCAGUCUGAGUUCCAUUGGGUUUGGCCGUUUUUAUUUUUGGCCUUGUUAUUUGUUUCAACAUAGAAGUUUCAUCCUAUUCACUAAUUACAAAAUGAGUGAGGUGUUUCAUCUUAUUUCCAACAGGCUGAUCAAAACCGAAUAUCUAGAAAGCAGCCACCGCUGUAUGUUGUUGAAGGAAGGUUUGAAAGGGUAAAUGAGCAUCCAGUUAAGUCUCAGUCCUUGUAAUCGCUAUUCGCUUCUAUUCUUAGGAACUUUGACUUAGACUGUUUGAAUUCGACUUUAGAAUGCAGGCUCUCAUUCGUUCUCCAUCGGAAUCACUGAGGUUCUAAAUACAAACCUGUUGAUAGAACUAAGAGCAGAUGACAUCGAAUAUGUCUACCAAAGGUUCGCUUCUAGCCUUAUUUUACCAGAAUUGUGGACCUAUGCGUAGUUCUUCUUUUUGCCUCUUGUUGUUUCGUUAUCACAUUACAAUGUGUUUCUCCAUGAAGAUUCUAAUUUUGACUGUGAAGCCUAUUAGACCAUCAGACUGCUUAUGCUUGACACAUUGGGAAUUUUAUGAGUUUACUUGUCAGUAUAACAAUGCAAAUUCUGAUAGAUGCUACAUUUCUGAAGCUAUCGCCUUCUCGUAAAAGAAUGGUUUUCCUUUUUGUGUUCGAAGUUUCAUGGCUUCAUAUACUAUUUUAGAGGGUUUGAUGCCUGCAUUCAAUGCAGGAGCCCAGGGAAAAUUAUCGGGGUCACAGUUCCCACAUUCGAGGCCCUAUCACAAUUUGGAAUUGCGACAAUCACAGCUCAGAAUAUAGGGGAAGUGGAAGCAUCCUACAGUUUAACGGUUAGAAUGACAUGUUCUUCUCUUUAUGGUGUAAUAAGUAGUUGGUUUAAGAUAUUCUAGUUGCUACUGUGACAAAUUGCUCCAUCUUGCAGCUUCACUGCUCAAAAGGCGUUUCUCUUGUGGAGGUACCAGGUGUCAAAAGUUCAAUUAUGCUUCAUUCUUAGUAUCUUUGUAGGACAUAGUACGGUCAAUAGUUUUUAUAAAGAGCAUAAUUCAAGGGCGAAUGAUUACAGGAGCAAUUCUUCAUCAUGAAACCAAAUGACAUCGCUACUCAAUCAUUCAAAUUGUAUCCUACAACUGAUCAAGCUGCAAGUUAUGUUUGCUCAGGUAAUUUAGUACCAACGGUCUCCAUAUCCAAGCUCAAUUUUUAUCACGCAUACUAAUGUGGGUAGCAGAAUGUUGAAGGCUUAUUUUUGUACCUCUGCUGCAGCUAUUUUGAAGGACUCCAAUUUUAAUGAAGUGGAUCGAGCCGAUUGUCAAUUUUCUACAACAGCUACUACUAUUGACAAUGGGUCUCAGGUUUGUGAUUUUAUCCAGCAUGAACAUUCUCCAGCAUGAACAAUUGCUUAGAAUUAGGUAAAGACGAUGAUCUGUAUUUCAAAGUCAAUAAUGCUUCAGUUGCUUGCUUGUAUAUGGUUUAACAAAGAUGACUUCUAUUUAAAAGUUAGGAAUGGGUGAGAAAUUAGCGUGCUUAUUCAACAUACAAACGCAAAGAUCGUCCACACAGCAUCAAUGAAACACGAAAUGAACGAAUAAACUUGAUCACUCUGGUACUUGUACAUAUUUAAUUCUAACUAUAGAUGACUAUGUGCAUAUCCCUGUCAAUAUAUUGAUCAAUCUUAACCAAACCUGACAUACAUUGAUUGUUGUUAGUGUCUUGGUGAAAUGAAGCAAUUACUUGGAAUUUCCAUUGCAUUAUGAACAGUGAUUCAUUUAUGCUACUUUUGUAGAUUGGUCCUUUCAUGCCACCCAAUACAGGACAUUAUGGGUUCAUGGAAUUUUUUAGAACGCUGUGGAACAAACUGUGGGAAGCUCUGUCAGACUUCAUCACUGGAAAAACUUGCAGGUACAUGUAGUCUUUCACGCAUUUGCUUUGUUCGCGUUCGAUUCCUUAGCUAAUGCACUGUAUCAACGUAUUUCGCAGAAGCAAAUGCAGUGGCUUCUUUGAUUUCAGAUGCCACAUACAGUAUAUAUGCUUCAGCUGGAUGGCGAUGUUUGGUAUACUUCUAGCUAUUUUCCCAACAGGUAAAAUACAAUACGAUAUCUGUUUGAAUUGAGCAUUCAACAAGGUUCGGUUAUUCUUUGCACUAACAAGAACGAGAAAAUCCACUCAUGAUUGCAGUGCUCGUAUUAAUUUGGCUUCUACACCAGAAGGGCUUUUUCGACCCCUUUUACGACUGGUGGGAAGAUCACCUUGGCGAUCAGAAGCAUCGGAGACAUCACAGUAAUGCUAACCAUCACAUCCAUCACGGUACUAAAAAACACCACCACCACCAUGGAACCAGGCACCACCACAAACACGGGACAACACAUCAUCGACGAAGAACCGUCCAUGCUCACAAUAAGCACCCAGGAGCUGAUGAUGACUACUACUACUAUCAGCUUCACCAUGUCAACAAGGACCGCAAGAAGCAGCAUCAUCGAUCCAGGAAGACGAGCACUGUGCAGGAAUCCCGUUUCGGAGAAAUGGGAAAUGACAGGGCCGAGCAUCAUGGACACAGGGACAAAAGAAACCGUAGAGGGGAGUAGUUGAAGUCUUUGAGAGAUAGAACACUUAACGUAAACAACUAAACAUUCAAAGCAACUACGCCGACAUGUUCAAGAGAUUGUACGAAUUGUCAGCACAUUACACCGGAGCGAACAUCAAGGUAAACGCUCGCGACAAUCUUUCCUCCCGAACUCGGAUGUUUGGGCCAGCAUUAGGAGAUCCUUUAAAAAGUACUUAUCGAAAACCUCGAAAGGUAUCAUCAUGUCUUCGGACUCGAUCUCCAAACGUAACUUCUUCAGUUUCUCGAAAGGAGAAGGUUGAUGCUCUAUAAACUUCGAAAAACCAAGGACUACCUGCACAAAGUAGAAUCCAAAUCAAUAUAACAGAGCAAGUUCGCAUAUGCUAGAAAAGAAAGUAAACUCUUACACAUGUACUUACCUUGCUCAUAUCUUCAAAUAGAGUCGAUGAUUCGACGUUAUGUAAACCAUGGAACAGGGAUACGAGAUUUUCUUUGAUAACGUCUAAUUUUGUGUGCGGAAGUUUCGAGUAUUCGCAACGAAUAUCAGCAUAAAUGACGGACGGAAGGGUUAGCUCUGUGAACUCCACAUACCCCGGAUCGAAAUCCAAUCUGAAAAAUUUGAGUUCGGGUUCCUAACUUGCGCACACCAUUAUGCUUGAGUCUCAAGCUAACAAGCUCGAGUCCGGAAACCCUUAGAGAUAAAAUAAAUUUAUACAUUAAAUUUCGACUCAAUCAGUUGCUUAAUAAUAUAAAGCUUCAACUCAUUUAUAUAAUUUGAAAUUUUCUUAAAAAAUAAUUCAAUAACUAUAUUUUUUUACUAGAUUAUGAUAUUGAACUCUACAUAUACCAAUUUUCUCCGACUCAAUCAAAAAAUCUUCCGAUCCGACCCAAUUUAGCAAAUCCGGCCGAACCUUCAAACCCUGAACCACUAUCACCAGUUCAAUCUCCAGCCCGAUUUCGAACGCAUAAAAACACAGAGAACCGUGAGCUUGACUUCAGGUGUUACCUAAACCUCUACUAUCGACCAACUGCACAAUAUUCCAACCAUUCCUCUGAAUCACUAAAGAAACCCACCAACUCCAUCUUAUACAAACUCCCUAUAUCUACUCUUCCAAUAACCCCAUCCUUCAUGCAAAUCACAAUCAACUUUCUAACACAUAAAUUAAACCAAGAGAUUUCAGCACCUUAAUCCACACAUGGAGACCCUCAGGAUCCUCUUCUUCAUCAUGCUCACCGUUGCAUUCACAACCUCGGCCCGAAAGCUCGAUGAACAGCCGGUGGAGCCCGAAUCCCCACUGGCUGCCCCACCCGGUCCUCAGUCCCGUUCUCCAAACCCAACGGAGCGGUCCUCCCGGUCAACAACGGAGUCAACCAAAACAACAACAACAACGGAGUCCUGAACAACAACAACUUGCCAUUCCUCACCGGCCUCGGCGGGACCACCGCCAAUGUGAUACAGAACAACAACAAUGGAAACAACAACGGGUUCAACAAUUUCCCGGCUUCCAUCAACGGAGGCCAGCUCCCGACAGGCUCGGCCCUGGGGCAGCUGAUGUUCGGGACAAUAACAGUGAUCGACGAUGAGCUCACGGAAGGGCAUGAAUUGGGGUCUCCUCUUGUGGGGAAAGCACAAGGGUACUACGUGGCCAGUUCGAUUGAUGGGAAUAGUCAGGCCAUGGCGUUUACGGCCAUGUUCCAUAGCGGUCACUAUGAAGAUAGUCUAAACUUCUUCGGAGUUCAUAGGGCCGGUGUGUCGGAAUCUCAGCUUGCUGUAAUGGGCGGGACGGGGAAGUAUGUGAAUGCUAAGGGACAUGCUGUGGUGAAGACCAUCCUUCCUGGUGCAGGUGGAAUUGGAAACCAGCAUGAAACUGAUGGGUUUGAGACUUUGCUGGAGUUUACUGUUUAUGUUGCAUACUGAAAAUCUUGUGCUUGAAGUAAUUGAUGUUGUGGUUCCUUUGUAUUAAACAGAGCAUUUGGUUUGUAAUGAUAUGCAUACUUUUGAGUUUGGUUUGGUGUGAUUGAGAAACUCCAAAUCGAAGCACCGUUCCAAUAAUCUCAAAUUCCAUCUGAACAGUCUAACAAAAUUAAUUUCGAUCUAACAGCUGAAAAUAUAGAGACAAAAAGGUGAUUUCUUCACGACCCUAGCUGCUGUCUCCCCCGCCGCUCAUGCAAACAUAAAACAUCCAUACAAACUCCCUUACAAAUACCCGUAGACAACAAGUUGUCCCGACGAUCGUCUAACUUUUUUCUAGAAGAAAAAAAAAUUCAGCCGACGACGGUGAUCACUUUAGUGAAAACAAUUUGAUGAUAUGUAAUUAACAAGAUUAAAUAGUAACAGUUCUGAUGGCAGACACCAUGGACUUCUUUGUAUUGUUGAGCUCUGCAAUCUUAGCUUCAACUACUUAUAAAAUAAAAUAAAAAUUCUUAGCUUCAACUCUUAAGCAUCUCUUCAGCUAUUGUAAACUAAUUAGCUCCACGCCCAGUAACAAUACCAUAUCAUAAGAAUUCAAAUAAUAUCUAUCUCCCCAAUAUUCAUCUUCCUCCUCAAGAAUCUGGAUGUUUAGGGAAGCAUCAGAAGAUCCAUUAAGAAAAUAAUCCUCCAAGACCUCGUGAGGUAUACUGUAGUUGGAGCGAAACUCGAUAUUUAACUUCUUCAGCUUCGUAAAGGGACAAGGGUGUUGCUCUAGAAACUUGGAAGUUCUAUCGACCACCUGCAGAAAGUAGAAUCCAAAUGAAUAUAACGAAAACAAGUCCACAUCUGCUAGAAAAAAAAACUGGAAAACUAAAUCUUACAGAUGUACUUACAUUGCAGAUAUCGCCACGCAGCGACAAAGAUUCCACGUUAUGCAAACCAUGGAACAUGGAAACCAGAGACUCUAUGUCAAUAUCAUAACGCUCGUACAUAGAACGCCAAUAACUACUUCGAAUAUCAGCAUGAACGAGUGAAGGAACAGUUAGCUCUGAGAAUUCCAUGUAUUUGUCCAAAUACAGCCCGAAAGAUUCAAGUUUGGGUGCAAAUAUUUCUAACUUGCACACAUUAAUAUCUGAGAGCGUCAAGUUAACCAGCUCGAGUCCAGAUACCCUCAAUCUCACAGUUUCGUCGUUAGCCAUGAAACCUUCACUAACCCUCUUCCACAAGCAACUAUUCAAGACCAAAUCACUGAGACAGGGGAGUUGAGAAAAGGGCUCAAAGAGUUCCCCAUCUUCCGAGACAGAGAACCGAGUACCAUAUAGCUUUAACAUUGUUAGCGACCGGAAUGCAGACCAAUCAGAUUGGAAAUUGAGGUGAAGCCAUCCCAAUUGUAGAGUUGUUACAGUGUCGCAGAUGUUAUCAAACAACUUGACAAGAGAGAUAUCGGGUGCAAUACGAUUAAUGGGUCGAAUGUUGAAAUGUUGAGCACCAUGGGACAAAGCAUACUGGACAACCCUUUUGAGCAGACUAAACUCGCAACCAAUAGGACCGAUAGAGACAGUGCUAACAGGAACGGGAUGGCGAAGGAACAAGACUUUGUCAACAAAUUUUUCGUACCUUGAGUAUUCGUUGAAGUAAACGUUCUGCAGAUUGAGAGACUGAACAUGUUUCCAGGCAGAUUCCCACUGCUUGGACAGUACACAAGUUUGAACGGCGGAUUUAGUGUCGAGAAAGGAGAGGAUGUGGUGAUGAAUGGAGCCUGGGAGAUUGCUUAUCCUAUCAACUCCUUCUCCGGCUGCCAUCCCUAGCUGAAAACACUGUAUUUGUGAGAUGAAAUGGAAAGAGAUCAGAAACAGAGACUAUAUAGCAGGGCAGCGAAUCUGAAAUCGUUAUCUCGCUUUUAAUGGAGUUUAUGAAUUUGUUGGUCAAGUCCAAUGACUGCUUGCAUGACGACAGUUCACAUUACCUUAUUGGGGGUUUAGAUCUUCGAUUAAAUUUCAUUGAUUGAGUUUCAACCAAUGAAAUAAAAAGAAGAACGGUUACAAUCUCUGAUACUACGUCAUAUUGCAACGCUAAUGUGUUAGAAAGGUAUAUAACAACUUAGCCACUUACUGCAAUCCUAUUAAGGAAGGUCUAUUCAGUCCAUCCUAACUUCUGAACAACACAUUGAAACAACUUCAUUGUUCCUGGAAAGGAAAAGGUCCAUGCCCACUUGACCAGCUUCAUGUCUUGGUUGAGCAUCAAAACCAUAUGAUGAUUCUAAAGAGUAAAGAGUGCAUCCAUGAUGCAGAAGCAGGGACAACACAUACCUGCAAACAAACAUAGGCCAUCACAGUUGCAUAGUACAAGUUUACAUCAUCUAAUUAUCUACCACAGCUUAUGAAAUUUUGAUAUAUCUGUUAUUGACAACUUCCUUCUGAAAGAGAGAUGGCAUCGUUAUACAAACAAACAGAACAAGAAUUCGGUGGGUUAAAAUAAACCAGAUGAAAACUCUCCAAACUGAGUCGAUUUCAGAAACAACAAAAAGAGCAUUGCAUUACAUUACAUCCAUGGAAUACCAAGAAUAAAAAGCAUGGUAUGUAAUUAAAUUAACAAGUAACAGUUCUGAUAUAGAGAUGGUAAAGAUUAGCAGAAAAGUCUUCUGGAACAAUCUGCUUGCAGGACGAAAGAGAACAUCACAAAUCACAAUCCUUCCUCCCCAAUCUCGAUAUGUAGGCCAGCAUUAGAAGAUACGUUAUUGAAGUAACUAUCCAAAACCUUAUAAGGUAUGUCAUCGCUGGACUCAAACUCCAGAUUCAACUUCUUCAGUUUCGUGAAAGGACAAGCUUGUUGCUCUAGAAACUUUGACAUCUUACGGACAGCCUGCACAAAGUAGAGCCUAACUCAAUAUAUAAACAAGAUCCUAGUCACAGUACAUCUUCUAGUAGUAGUAAAGCAUACAGAAGAGCAUACCUCGCUGAUUUCCUUGCCUAGCAUCAGAAAUUCCACGUUAUGUAGACCACGGAACAUGACGACUAGAUGUUCCACGACAAUAUCAUCAUCCUCGUCGAGAAGGUGCUCAAAACGGAAUCCGACAUCAGCACAAACGAGGGACGGGAGGGUUAGCUCUGAGAAUUCCGUAAAUUCCACAAAACAGAACACCAAAGAUUCGAGUUUAGGUGCAAAUAGUUCAAAGCUCCACACAUUCAUACGAGUAAUUGUCAAGUUAACCAGCUCGACUCCGGAAAUCCUCAAUCUCCUAAUUUGGUUAUCAUCUUCACUUACCAACCACAAGCAAUUAUCCAAGAACAAAUCUUUCAGACAAGGAAAUUGAGAAAAUGGCUCGAUCAGCACGUCUUCAGUUGAGAACCAACAAUCAUACAGCUUUAAAGUAGUCAGCAACCCGAAUGCAGAACGUGCAGGCUGACAAUCGAGGUUAAACCGUACCAAUUCUAGACUUCUUACGGUAUCAGAGAUCGAGUUAAACAAUUCGAAUAGAGGGAUGUACAAAUUAACCCUCAGUCGAACGUUGAAAUCUUGAGCACCAUGGGACACAGCAUAUAGAAAGAGCCUUCUGAGCAGGCUAAAUUCAUCAUCAGGAGCGACAGGGCACGCACCCAGGUUCCACAAUAGCAAAACCUUGCUGACAUGAAGGGGACGGCGGAGGGACAAGACAUUAUCCACAAACCUUUCAUACCUCGAAUAUUCAUUGAAGUUCAGCUCCAGAUUGAGGGAAUGAACAUGUUUCCAGGCCGAUUCCCACUGCUUAGACAAUACGGAAGUUUGAACGGCGGAUUUGGUGUCGAUGAAGGAUAGGAUGUGAUGAAGAAUGGAGUCAGGGAGAUUACUUAUUCUGUCGACUCCACCGGCAACCCCUAACUGUUUGCCGCCACGUCUCUUGUUCUUCUUCUUCUUGUUCAUAGCUCUCGAAACCCUGAGAGAGAAAAAAUGGUAAGGACGAUGAAACAUAAAGGCAAUGAGCUAAAGAAAUAUAAAGCCAGAGGGAGAAAGACAAAAUUACAGAAAUGUCAAUGGGCCGGGUCGGGAAAGUUAGCCAUUUAGGACUCGACACUCAAUCCGCCGUUAAGACUUGUGCAUUGUCCAAGCAGUGGGAAUCAGCCUGGAAACAUGUUCAUACUCUGAAUCUUGAGCUGAAAUUCGAAGAAUACUCGUGGUACGUAAUGUUUGUCGACAAAGUCUUGUCCCUUCGCCAUCCCCUUGCUGUCAGCAAGGUUUUAUGGCACCCAUAUGACUACUCUUACGGUCCUAUUGGUACCGAGUUUAGUCUGCUCAGAAGGGUCGUCCAAUAUGCAGUGUCUCAUGGUGCUCAACAUUUCGACCUAGAACCCAGAUGUGAAUGUAAACCCAAUAUCCCUCUUUUCGGAUUGUUUGACUCCCUUUCUGGCACCGUAACAAGUCUGAAAUUAUUACGGUUUGACUUCUAUUGUCAACCUGAAUGUUCUGGAUUCCGGUUGCUAACAACCUUAAAGCUGCAAUGUUGUUGUCUCUCAGCCGACGGAGAGCUCGUUGAGCCCUUUUCUCAAUUUCCCUGUCUUAAGGAUUUGGUUUUGCUUGAUUGCUGGUGGGUACGUAAAGGUGAUGAUUACAGACCUGUGAGAUUGAUGGUUUUCGGACUCUAGUUGGACAGGUUGAGCUUCUUAAAUAUGCAUGUCUGGGAGUUGGAAAUGUUAGCACCGAAACUCAAAUAUUUCAAAUUGAUAUCUGGGGAAUCAUGGAGUUUCCAGCAGAGCUAACUCUUCCGUCUCUUGUUCAUGCUGAUAUUAAAAGCCAACACUGGAACUCUUGCUUCGAGGAAUAUGAUGUAGUCAAAGAAACUCUAGUAUCCAUGUUCCGUGAUUUACAUAACGUGGAAUCUUUGACGCUAUGUGACGAUAUGAGCAAGGGAAGUACAUGUGUAAGAUUUACUUUUUCUAGCAUAUGUGAACUUGCUCUGCUGUAUACUGAUUUGGAUUCUACUUUGUGCAGGCACGCCUUAGAAGUUCCAAGUUUCUAGAGCAACAACCUUAUCCUUUUAAACAACUGAAGAAGUCAAUUUUGGAGGCCGUGUCCUCCGUAGACGAGAUACCUUACAAGGUCUUUGAUAAUUACUUCUUUAACGGAUCUUCUGAUGCUGGUCUAAACACUCGGAAGAAAAGAUUGUGGCGGCAAGUAACGAUUGAGCGUUUGGCUUCAUGUACACUCUUUUCUCCUGCAAACAGAUUGCUCUGGAACACCUUUGUGCUAAUCAUGACUGUCUUUAGCGUUUAGAGUAGAAGUUAUAUGUGGAGCUUAGGUGUAAUAUGAUCACUAUUCGUGCAAUCUCUUGAACAUGUUGGCCUAGAUGUUUUGAAUGCUUUUAUGGUAUGAUAUUGUCGACCUAUGCUGGUUUUUUGUUAACUUGCUGAGUUCUUUCUCUGCUCUUUUACCACGGUGCGGUGCCAUCUUCAGAAAGAAGUUUCAGAUAGUGGCCCUUAACUUCUCUCAUUCCCAGUGUUAGAAUCUUGCUAAGUUCAGUUUACCAAUUACAACAUAUCGACGAAAGGCACCAACUUGCUGCAUAUCCAUCUUUUGCAGUCAGUAAGAAACCAAUUUUUCAGCUUUGCUUUUCAAGCUUUGGGCCGAGCUUCGUCAGCUUCCUAUCGUGGUUGAGCAUGGAGCUUACACUCUCGACCACCAAAACAAUCAUGGAGCUUACCCGGAUUCAAAUCCCUGCUGGUGCAUUACAUUUCAUUCUAAAUCCGUCAUGUUUCGAGAUGCGAGUGACUCUUCUUCACAGAAGUCUCAUUUCUUUCUAACCUGUGUACUUUCUUUCGACUAUGGGAUUGGUUACUAUCGAUUAUGGGUAGACCGGAUCUUAAGCAAAGUUCUGUGAGAAUGUAUGAUGAAAUUAACUUCUGUGAAUGAUUGGAAUAAAAAGAAUGAAGUUGAGGAUUAAAUAUUCAUAUCUAAAACAUUUGAGGAGCAAUUGGUAUAAAUUACCUCACAAUCCGCACUUACACUGAACAGUGAACAGUCUUUCCGAUUGAAAAACCUCCAUUAAAGCGAUCGAGCGAGGACGGGGAAACGAUGUUCAUCAUCGUGCUUGUGACAUUGCAAAACGGUAAUUAAAGACUCGCGCUUUGUUUCUUUCAACUCUGUUAUUUUCUUGCCACAUUUCUCUUUCUCAGUCUUUCAUUUCUUCUCCUAGGGAUUUGAGAGCUGUGAACAAGAAACAGAGGAGCAUUAACAGCAGCGAUCUAGGGAUGGAAGCCGGAGGAGGAGUUGACAGACUAAGCAAUCUGCCAGAAUCAAUUAUUCACCACAUCCUAUCAUUCCUCGACACAGAAUCCGCAGUUAAAACUUGUGUAUUGUCCAAGCAGUGGGAAUCCACCUGGAAAAAUGUUCAUACUCUGAAUCUGAAUCUGAGCUUCAUAGAAUACUCGAGGUGCGAAAGGUUAGUCGCCAAUGUCUUGUCCCUCCGCUAUCCCCUUCAUGUCAGCAAGGUUUUAUGGCUCACAAAUAUGCGGUGUGCCGGUCGUGAUGAGUCUGAGUUUAGUCUGCUCAGAAAGGUUGUCCAAUAUGCGGUGUCCCAUGGUGCUCAACAUUUCGACCUACGACCCUAUUCAGAUAAUCCCCAUAUCCCUCUUUUCGAAUUGUUUGAUGACUCCAUCUCUGACUCUGUAACAAGUCUGGAAUUAUCAUGGUUUUGCAUCUAUUGUGAACCUGAAUGGUCUCGUCAGUUCCGGUUGCUAACAACCUUAAAGCUGCAACGUUGCAUUCUCCCAGCGCAGGAUGGGGAGCUCGUUAAGCCUUUUUCGCAAUUCCCAUGUCUCAAAGAUUUGUUCUUGGAUAUUAUCGAGUUUGUAAGUGAUGACCGCCUACCUGUUAGAUUGAGGGUUUCUGGACUCGAGCUGGUUAACUUGACAUUCUCAAAUGUUAAUGUGUGCAAGUUAGAGAUAUUUGCACCCAAACUCAAAUCUCUGAGAUUGGUAGACGUUGGGGAGUUCUUAGAGCUAACGCUUCCCUCCCUUGUUCAUGCUGAUAUUCGAGAAUGUUGUUUGAACUUUACCAGAGGGAAUGUUUAUGUUCAUAAAAAAUCUGUGAUCAUCAUGUUUCAUGGUCUACAUAACGUAGAAUCUCUGACGCUGUGUCACGAUAUGAGCAAGGUAAGUUAUGAUUUACUUUUCUCUAGCAGAUGCGGUGAUCUUGUUCUGUUAUAUUGAUUUGGAUUCUACUUUCUGCAGGAAAUCCUUGGAAUUUCCAAAUUUCUAGAGCAACAACCUUGUCCUUUUAAAAGAUUGAAGAAGUUAAAUUUGGAGCUGGCGUCCUUAGACGAGAUACCUUACGAAGUCUUGGAUAAUUACUUCUUUGACGGAUCUUCUGAUGCUGGUCUAAUCAUCCAGACACUGAAACAAGGAUUCUUCUGGCAAGUAAUGGUUGAGCGUUUGCCCUGAUGUACUGGAAGACCUUUGUGCUAAUCCUUGCUGUGUUCAGAGUAGAAGUUGCAUGUGGAACUUAGAUGUAACAUGAUUAGAAUUCGUACAAUCUCUUGAACAUGUUGGCAAAUGGCCUAGCUAUAUUGAAUGUUUAUGGUAUGACAUGUGGAAUUACAGCGCCAAUGUAUUACAAAGGUAGUCACAACUACAACAUAUCGAUGAAAGGCACCAACUUGCUGCAAAUCAUAUCAGGUCUAGUCUAUUCAGUUCAUCCCAACUUCUGAACAACACAUUGAAAAAUAACAUUUUUUUCCAGUCAGUAAGAAACCAAUCCACGCUCUUGAUCAUUUGAUGCUUCAAAGUACAUGAGUUUCAGCUUUGCUUUUCAAGCUUUGAGGUAGAGAGCUUCGUCAGCUUCCUGUCGUGGUUGAGCAUGGAGCUUACACUCUCAACCACCAAAACAAUCUGAAGAAUAUCGACAAGUGCAAAGCAUAAACAUCUCCUUUUACGUCUACGGGCGGAAUAAACCAUCUGAUGCAGAAACAGAGAUAUGAUGUACCUGAAAGCAAGCGUAGGCCAUUGCCGUUGCAUAGUAGAAGUUUGCAUUGCCAGUGCCCUGCAUGUUUUGUUACAUGAACCAACAUUCAUAAUGUAGAACUAUAUCGAUAACUUUGGGUGAUGCAACGAACUGAGGUUAUCGUACCCUCCAAAUCCAAAGAUUAUGCAUCACUGGGCUAAGUAAGGACACUCCAACGUAUCCGCAGAAGAGGAAGAAAGAAAACUGCAUAUCUGUGCAACAUAUGUAGACAAGGUAUAAGAAAAAAGGUUAUACCUUUCAAAAGUAACGAGAAAUAUGAGAGGAUCUUACCAGCUAAUUCAUCCAGAAACAAUCCCAAGAGGCCUAAAUACAGAGCCGAAUCUCCAACCUGGUGAAAAUUUAGUGAACAAGGCGUUAUCAAUUUGUUAAACUAGAUUCUCAGUAAUCAUGGCUUGCCGGCCCAUCGAAAUCUACAACACAAGCAACUGGACAACCCUGAUGCUUUUCUUGCCAAUUUUUUCGAUAAAUGGAAAGGAUAUGGAACACUAUCAUACGCACAAACGAAAGGGUGACAAAAGCAUACGUUUUAAACAUACUGUAGAGAAGAAAAAGACUGGGUGCCAGAUCACUUACUGAAGGAUAUGACUUAAGCAUUGAAGAAAUGGCAAUGUAGAUGAAAGCAAGGAAGCAAGGUCGGUGCUUUAGCCGUAUUGCCAAUGGGAUUAUCAUGAACAAAAUAUUUGAAUGGAAAACGAUCAGGAAGAAAUCUCGGAAGAAGUCGAAAACUUCUGCAAAGAAGUACCUGCAUCAGAAUCAGUUGCAUUAUAAAGUGCAUAAAGAAACAGAUCCCAGUAAGUUUCCCAGAUUUAGUGCAGAGGAAAACAACAAGCAAUAUGGACUCACCACAAAACACCGAUAUUUGGGGACAGAUCUUCCACAGUAAGUAUGAAUCCAUAAGUUCUGCAAACCAGAGACAAAUUUAGAAACUCAUUGGAACAGUUCACAUACUACAGUCCAGUUGUUUUUAGGAACAUGUAAUAUAAUCCUACUAGUGUAGUACAUUUCAUGAUUAUCUACCACAGCGACAGGGUGAGCGGCUUGAAAAAUUCAAACAAUAAUAGAACAUUCUCAUGACCUGAUGGUGUUUUACUCCAUAGAAACUGAUAUAACAUUGCUUGCAAGUGCAGAACUAAUAAGGGAAACAUAGCACAAGUCCAGUGAGUAAUCUAGCCACAUGAUACAGAAAACCAAUAUAUUUUUAUGAGCACCUUUGAAACAUUUCCUGCAGACUGCCGUAUUGCUUGACAGAUAUACUGCAUAGGAACAACACAUAUGCUGACCAAAGUGAAGUCCAGACUAACAAAUGCAACACUCUUCUCCAAGAAAAGAUGAUUUCUUCCUCUGAUUGAUAGUUUCCAGCUUUACCAUAUUCCUUACAUCGGAACAACUUACUAGGAGGAGCAUCUGGACCAUAUCCCAGCAAGAGAAUCACCUGUAGCCACAGAAAACCAUACAGAUAGCAAACUUACAUCCAUAAACGAAGUUAUGUAAAGGGAAAAAAAAGGGGCAAGAAUCUGAAUAGAAGAGGUUUACCGGUAUGAUUAGAACCACAGGAUACAAGGACAAAUGAGUUGCGAUGACCCAACCGAAAGCUGCUAGAGGUGCUAGCCCUGUACGCAUCAAAACAACACUGUUUUCAGUCAUAAGUACGAGUACCUUCUCCGAAACAAUAAAAAUAUAUCAUGUGAUCAUUCACCGGCGCAGUUUCCUAAUUCUACGAACUCAACAAAGGAAAGAAUAAUAACUGAAAUGAACUCAAGUUAAAAUUAAGAAUUGGCAAUCUCACCUGCAGCGGCUCCAAAAAGAGUCAGUAUGGUAAAAAGAUUUUCUAUAGGAGAUGUCGAUGAGCCCACGCAGGCAACAAUUGUGAAAGGACUCCAUAAGUACACCAGAGCAGCUAUAUCUCCAGAAGAAUGUGUGCCUGGAGGGAAAGUCAGCGUCACAUCUCAAAUCAAUGUUAUCAGGUCGAUAAAUGCAAAAGUUGAGAUCUUCAGCCAAAAGACGAGCCUCUAGAAAAGUCAACAUGUCCAUUUUCAGUACAAUGACUUCAUAAUCUUUUUUAAUCUACCUUGUAUUAUCGGAAAAACUACCAGCAAGUAGUUUCACGAGAAAAAUGGAAGGGCUUUUCAACGAUAGGAUACCUGAAUCUGUGGAUUUAGUAAGCAGAUUAAGUGACGACAAGUGUUUCCUAUAUGACAUCUGUAGUUUCUGACCAGUAGCACGGAUGAGAAUAGCACUGAUUAAGUCUGCAAGGACAAAAACCAAACUGUAUCCAACUGUAAGAAUGAAGGGGAUUAAGGGAGGUAACAGAAGCAUAAAUUUACUACCAAAAACGUUUAAACUAACACAAACCAAAAUGAUCUUUAAAGUGAAUAGAUCGACAGUGUAGAUUAAUAUAUGAUCACAAGUGUGCUAGUACCAGAAUGGAAAUUGCAAGGGAAUUACCUGCACAGAAUGUGACUGGGCUGGCCUUCGAUUCUGUAAUGGAAACCGAGUUCAUCAGGAUAAUUGCACCUCCCAAAACAAGGAUUCAAGUUGAACAAACAAUUAUUCACAAUAUGAUAGUAAUAUAGCAGUAUAUAAGGAGGUAGGGGUUAUGAAUGCUUCCUAAUCAAGUACCUAGAUUCAAUGUAAAAUCACACAAAUUUGAAUUUUACAGAUACACUUAUCAGAAAAGAGGAUACCUUUUGACAGUAAGAGGCCCGAGAAGAGAGAGCAACAAUGGAGAACCAUGGUACAUGGAUCCUACAAGCACAAAACUAAGAAAAAAAUCAACAAACCAUAUAAUUCUGCUUACACUAAUACCCAAUCCCAACAACUUCCAGAACAUUUCGUCACCAGUAAGGAUUAACAGUGAGCUCAACCAAAAACCUACCUGCAUAAGGAGACAUCGACGAUUGCUUCAACCAGUACCCCUCUGCCACUGCAAUCAAUAAAUCCAUAUUCAAAUGUUAACAGAAGCGACUAUAGAUCGAGAGAUAGAGGGAGAGGGAAAGUACGGCGGCGAAGGGAGGUGAGAGGAGUGGAGACUUCCGGGCGAGAAGACAAGUUGAGAUUUCCUGGGAAGUAAAUGAGGAUCAGUCGGAAGAUCACGGCGAACACUGCCCAUUUCCAGAAACCUCCUCCUCCUCCUCCUUCUACUCCUCCACCACCUCCCGCUUCGUGGGGUUUCAUUUUGCUUUCCUCUUCUGUAUUAGCCGUCGCCAUUUUGCUUAGCUUCGGCGCCGGUGAGUGAGUGAGCAGCUCUGAGCUGAGAGUCGAGAUUAGUAAGCAGCCGCCGGCUAAGAUUGUUUGCCGUAUUUUUUUUCCGCAACUCAAAUAAUGGGCUUGGGCCUCGAUAGGCCCAACAUUUGUACCGCUGAAUUACCUGAAGGUCAAUAUUGUCGGCCUGUCGGGCUCGUAUAUAUUAAUUUAUGAGUGUUGGUAGGCUUGUCGAUUCUUUAACUAGUUAAUCGAUUAUAAUUUUAUUAAGUUUGACGAUUAUUAAUUAUUGAUUGGAUAUUUUGAAGGUGAUGAUUAUAAUCAUUAAAAAUUAAGAAUAAAUAUAAAUUUUAUAAUAAUCGCACCAUUACCGUAAUAAUGUCCACAUAUUUAUUAUAGCAAUUAAACAUGUAAUUUUAACAAAAAUAAAGUACUUAUGAACUCCUUCAAUCCAAUUCAAAUAAUAAAAUACAUAACCAAACUCUGUGAAACAAAAAGAGAAAAUAAAAGGACAAAAAAUACAUUACUUGUUCGGUUGCUUUCUGACGAGGAAACAAAACCAAAAAAUCAUCACCGUCGUUCCAAGAGAAAAUUCUCUCUCGAUUCUCAAGCAAUGGCGACUCCCGAACAGGAAGCAAUCAACACAUUCAUCAGCAUCACCGGCGCCACCGAAUCCGUCGCCGUCCAGAGACUCCGGGUCGGUUACCCCUUCUAUCUUCUCCUUCCGUUUUUGCCUUACCCUUCAGCUUUCUAGAUAAUUCCAUCGGCGGCCAGUUUGGGAAUUGACGGGAGUUCGGGGGUUCGUCGGCGAACUUGGUUUUGCCGCUGUUUGAGUUGGUUGGUUUCGUUUACGUGGAUGUUGAUUAGGGUUUCUGCUUUCGUUAGUAUUGACCAUUGAGAGUUGAGAGGCGAUGGAUUCUGGUGCGGGAUUAGUAAAGUUAGAUGAUUUAUUCUUCUCUGGAUUAGUUUGAUUGUUGAUUGUGCUCAGCUGGAAUUGAUCGAAGUUUGUAACUUUCUGGACAAGUUAGCAAAAAAAAAUGAUCAUCUGAUUUUUGUGUCGAUUGCUUACCAUUGGGGAUUAAAGCAUGGAUCUAGUGAACUAUGCGAUGAAUUGAUACAUUCCUCUGAUGACUUCAUGCCUGUGUUUCUGGUUGAAUUCGAAAGCAAUUAUUCAGUCCACGAUUCUAAAGAUCUUUGAUGGUCUGCGAGUAUUCUAUUGAACUUGCUGGCCUUGUCACCUAAUUUGUAAAUUGAUUUGAAGAACUCUACUUGUUGUCUUGCCUUACGAGGAGUCCCAUUCGAUCAAGGAAAAAACCUUCCUGCUUGGAACAAUUCGAACCUUUAGGGCGUAGUGACAUUGAAAAAGUUCAGAUUGAAUGGAUCGAGCAGAUCACUUUAAUUAUUGAGAUUUGAUUCGAUCAUUUGAAUUUAUAAGUUGCGGCAUUGCUGCUAUAAAUUGCUUACUGAAGUGUCUAAUUUCCGUACUUGUUUGUCUUUGUGUUAGCAUGAAGCUGUGUUGUUCUAUCUUAUGUGUUGUAGACUGUAGUUCACCAUUUUGGGUUUAAAGGUUUCUAUUUUAAGGCUGCGGUAGAUACUAAAGUUUACAUACGCUGAUUGCAUUGGACUAAAGUAUCAUCCAUCUUCUCUGAUUCAGGAACAUAGGGGUGAUCUCAAUGCCGCUGUCAAUGCACAUUUCACUGAAGGAGACAGAAGCAGGUAGUUAUGUGUUUUUUUUCCUUCUUGUUUCAUUGCUUUCAUUCCUCUACUCAAUCUUGCACAUUUCAAGUCUCUUUUCCCGGUGUUCAGCUUGAACCCUCCAUCUGUUCCUCCUCAUGAAGAUGACAUCAUGGAUAUAGAUGAUCCAAUCGAAACUGCGCCCCCGAGAAAUCCCUUGUCUCUUCUGGCUGAUCCAGCUGUUGUAAACCCAUUUUCACUUCUCGAUCCGCAAUUCCGUAGAAGCUUCUUCGAGGGCGGUUCGGAUUUUAUGAACCGCGGACCAUUUGUUACUCCACCAAGACAGGUGAGAGAGAUACCCAUAGAGAUCAAGGACACCCCUAAUGCUUCUGGCCGUUCUGGUCAUGGUCCUGUUAUCGAGGAUGUUACUGGAACUGACUAUGCUCAUGAAUCUGGCAUCCGUGGGACUGUAAUUGUUAGCGACGAUGAAGAAGAUAAUGGCGAUGUCAUUCUUCCCAGCCUUAAUACAACUGCUGCUCGACAAGAUGACCAAGAUAUAGAUGGUUUAGGUGGCGCUUCUAAUGAUAUGCCAAGGCCUAGUGCACCAUUACCUGAUAGCUCACUGGAAUAUGGCAAUGACAUAGAAGAAGAGAUGGUUAGGGCAGCCAUUGAGGCUUCGAAACGUGAGGCUGAGGUAAAGAUAAUGGUGAUGUUAUUCCUCGCAGCCUUAUUAGUUCAGUGACCAUGAAUUGGAACAUGAGUUUUCAUUUUCCUUGAACUUUUCGGUGUUCUUGUCAUGUUGCAUAUAGCUCUAAUGAACAUGCGGUGUAUUUGUCUUAUGCACGAGUACUCCAGUUGGCAGAGCAAGAGAAGGCAUUACGUGAGCGUAAGGGAAAAGUUGGAGUAUCGGAAAUAGGAGCAUCUGAGCCUGAGAAUGUAAUUGCACCUUCCAAUGGAGGGUAUGUGUCGUGCCAAUUCCCCUUUACAUUCUUAUGUCUGUAGCAAUAUCUUGAAAUGGAAGCAAAAGUUGAUUCUCGCCGAUUGUUAGGGAAGUAAAUUGAUCGUUUUUUCUGGACAUGGUAUAGGUUAGAAAAAGGUGGAUCAUUUAUCGAGGAUGAAGUUGAAGAUGUGGAGGAACAGCCACUGGUCAGUCGGAGAUCGAGAAAUGCAUCUUCAAGCUCUAUGGAAUCUGCCAAAGAUGUAGCUACUGAGUCCGACCUGCCAUCAAGUCCCAUAGACAACAAUCCCAACAGUGAAACACAGACAAAUGGGAAUGCUUUCCCUGAGGAGGUAAAAACUCUAAGUGGGAUGUGUCAAAUAGUACUUCAGACUUCUCUUUAUAUACACACAAUUUUACCUAUACUUGUACGUUUUAGUGGGGUGGCAUUUCGUCCGAGGAGCACGAUGAGGCAGUGAUGCUUGAGGCAGCCAUGUUUGGGGGAGUGCCUGAGGGGUCCGGAUAUCAGUUCCCUUAUGCACCUCAUCAAUUCAUGCAAAGAGAAAGCCCUUACCCUAGGCCAGCACCACGUCCUCCAUCUCCCUCUUUAGAAGCCCAACGUUUGAUCCGUGAACAACAGGUUUUAGUUUGAUAUAUAUAUAUAUAUAUAUAAAGUUCAAUCUACAAUCACCAAUGUCUUAGAACUAACCGGUUUUGGUUGGUGGUGCAGGAUGAUGAGUACCUUGCUUCAUUGGCUGCUGAUAGAGAGAAAGAGAUGAAGGCCCUGGAGGAAGUUGAAGCUCGGCGUUUGCAAGAAGAAGCAGCCAGGGAAGCUGCUCUUGAAGAAGAAAAACUGAAAGAGGAAGAAUGCCGCAGGAAGUUGGAGGAAGAGCAGGUAAUGUUGUAAACUUGAUACUUAAUCUCUUCAAGUCAAAUGAGUUUGCUGUUCUGGAGACUGAAAAUUAUCAUUCUUUCACAGGAAAUGGAGAGGCAGUUAGCUGCAAAAGAAGCUUCACUACCUCAAGAGCCAACUCCGGAUGAAGAGAAUGCUGUAACACUUUUGGUGCGCAUGCCUGAUGGCACGCGCCAUGGCCGCCGGUUUCUCAAGUCUGACCGCUUGCAGGUAAUAUUUCUGCGAAAGAAACAGAGCACCUCCAUUCAAUUUAUAUCUGCAACAUUUCAAGAUCCUUAACGAACAUUUGUUUUGCUCGGACAGUCCCUCUUCGACUUCAUUGAUGUCACCAGAGUCGUCAAGCCUGGCACUUACCGACUGGUAAAUCUUCCAUCUUUGUGCUUAUUAGAAAAAGAUCCAUCAUCGUAUGACUCAAAACGCUCGCUAUCGUACAUAACCCUGCAAUUGACCGAAUGCUUAAUGUUUACAGGUGAGGCCAUACCCUAGGCAGGCCUUCAGCGAUGGACAUAGCGCCCUCACGCUGACCGAACUCGGCCUGACCAGCAAACAAGAAGCCUUAUUUCUGGAGCUGAUCUAGAUUGGUAACCAGAGUGGUCUAUUGUUAAAGUUGUAGAGGAUGUAUUUCCGUCGGUAGCUUAUGGUUAACACAUAGACAUUAAAGCAAACAUAUACGAAAAAGCAUGAAAAUUUGGGGGAAAGGGGAGUGUAUUAAGUCAUGUUUUGCACAUAGCAGAUCGUAUUUGGAGUGGAUUAAAACUGGACCGUUUCAGUUUGAAACUUCAUAUCAUGCAAUAGAAUCAUCUGCUGGGUCUCUCUUUGGCCUGUUCAUUGAGAUGUGGGUUGCGUAUGGUAUUGAGACCUUUAACCUAAGUCAGUAGUGGGAUCAGUCUUGUUUAGAAGGGCACUGAAUCAUGCUAUGAGGUUUUCAACAUUCUGUUAAGGUUCUUGUCUCUUCACUCUGGCUGAUUCAACUCAGUUUGGUCUCUAGUUUGUAUGAUUUAUAGGUUAAUCUUCAUGAUUCUAAAGUACAAAGUUAGAAUCUGACCACCCCUUCACGUUGACUCGCUUUGUGCAUUAGAGUCUCGUUUGGUUUUGAAUGUCAGAAUCUUACCAAACGACAUGUUUGCUUGGUUUCUUCGAUUCUCGUUUGGUUUUAAAUAGAAGACUGAGCGUCGACGCUGGUUUUCCCUGUUCGAGCCAGUCCGUAAGUCUGAACCACCCCACUCUCUACCGAAGCCAGUCAUGUGGAAGUAAAGGCCGGCCAAACUGGGGCUAAUACCUGGCGGCUGGCCGACAGCCAGAACAAUCAACACAAAAGCAGAGGUUGUGGUCACUUCAGCAAGGAGACAAGCAAUGCUCUGUUUCUUUUUCUUUACAUCAGCUCUUAUGUCUUUUGUGUUGCAAUUAGUUGCAACCAAUUUGCAUGCAAUUAGGUUCAACGGUCAGUUUCUAGCUCCCUUUUACCAAUUUUUUACCGUUGGGUGGUAAAUCUGUGCCAUUAUUAACUGCGGUUAUAUGAUUACCCGCAUCAUUGAUGUUUUCUUCUAGGGGACUCGUCACUGUUCACUAGAAAGUAGAAACCAUUGAUUGUUCAUACUUCCAGAGUAUCCCAAGCUGAAAACAAAUUGGUUUGGUGACCUCAGCAUAAACCUUAACCGUGCAGUUCCGACCCGACGAAACUUGAGUGUUGGUGUGUGUUAUCACCUUCCGCCAGCUGAAGUUGGAUCACAAUUUGCGAGUCCAGCUAUUGCACUAGUACUUGUUUGUACCCAAACUUCCAAGCAAAUUGUAACACAAACACAACAAACUCUUAAUUCAACCAAUAGGUGUAUUAACGAUGGAUAAUGCUACAAGUAGGAUGGAUUUACCUCGUCUAUCAAAAUUUUCAAUAUUCGAUAGAAAAAAAGAAUAAAAUUGUGUAUAAACAUUAAUAAACAAGAUAAAAUAUAAAUAUUAUAUAAAAAUUAGAUUCAAACACAAUAUCUUAAAAUCGUCAUGAAUGAAAAAUGUGCUUUACAACUAAAAUUAGGAUAUUAUCAUUUGAUCUCAUAAUUAAGAGAAUAAUAAUUUUACAAAAUAAAAGGAGAAUUAAUCAAACGCCACGUGUCAAUAUAAUCCCAUGGGUUAGGGGAAAGCCCAAUUACAAGAGUGCUGGGGCCUUCAAAAAGAAAAAGGAAAAGGCCACGUCAUCUUCCUUUUCUAGCCACGUGGCCGCCACGAUUAAGAAAAAGAACGGAGGAAGCGGAGAAAGGCCCACGUAACCAUCUUAUCUGAAAACUCCUUAACUUUGCCACGUAAUAAUCACUAUAUCUAAUGCCUGUCCUCUCUCGGACCCACACGUGUCCUUAAUCUAAUUUAUAAUUGCAUAGUUAAUAGACUGUUAAAGCAUUACAAUUCCAAGUUUCAAGUUUAUAUACUUCUCGACACCUUUUCAUCCACAUUUAGCUUUUAGGAUGAGUUUUAUUUAAGGUGUUACUAUUUGUAUCGGUUAGUAUUCGAGUAUGUCGGACAUAUAUCGGUUAGUAUUUGAGUAUGUCGAACAUAUGUUUGGGGAGAGGAUGACUAAUAAAAGAGACGAUCUGAAAACAGAAUAGGCUAAUUAGAGUAGACCGCUCGUAAACGUCGAUUAAAAAUUGUAAUAAUAUGUUACAUUACAUGUCCAGUUACAUAUCAUAGUUCAAAAUGUGAAAUUAAUAGGAGGGUUUAUUAUUUUGUUAACAUUCUCUUGUUACAAGCUAAUAUAUCACAUCCUAAUUACGUAUUUUUUAAUUGAAGAUAGACCAGAUAAAUCUGUUUUUAUAGGAGAAAAAUGAAGUAAAUAUAAUAUAGCUAGGUAUCCAUUUAUGACGAACCCAGGACCUUUGAGUCUCCAACCACACAACGCAACCACAACGGGCGAAAGCUACGUAUGAAAAUGAAGUACAUUCACAUCAAAAUUUAACUGUUGAAGUACGUUCUAUCUAAUAAGAUGUUGUAAUUUAGAACAAUUGGUAUUAGAACCUGUGUGACAUGUGUUUACAAUGAAACGACUUAUAAAAUGGACAACAAAAAAACAAAAUAGGUUAACCAAAAUAGACCGCUGUAAAUUUCGGUUUAGAAGAAUUAACACAGAAAUCAAUGUAGUUUAAGGGGAAGCUAACCAAACCCAAAAAAAAGAAACAAUUUUUCACCCCAACGGUCCAUUGAAACGGCAAACGGGCAUCAAAGUCAGGUGAUGUAGGGAUACCAACCACGUGUAGUCCAGUAGUCCACGUGGCCGCCAUUCAGGAUGCACAGUCACCAAAACCCUACCCCACACCACACGUUCCUCCCUCUCUCUCUCCCCGUACGCACAAAGUCACCAACUUUCAACGGUCAUAUUUCACCGACAUUUCCCAACGGUCACUUAAACAUCACAUCCAGGCCGUCCGAUCGCCGAUCCAACGGCCCUCGAAUACCACCAAAAAAUUCCUCGUUUUUGUCUGGCACAGUCAUUACGGUUUUACGGUAAAAGCAGAAUAUAAUAAUGAUGAUAACGGAGGUCCACGGAGGUGUAGAAAAAGAGGGUCUUGAUGGAGACAGCCAUUGAAGGGUGGUCUUUAGUAGAGGGAACGUAUUAGUUUUAGUAGAGAGAGAGAGAGAGGAGGGAGGGAGAGAGAGAGAGACGUAGCCAUAGGUUUGUAUCAAAGAGUCAUACUUUGGAGGUUUACUAGGCAGAGAGGGAGAGAGAUGAGUGUUCUUCUGUAAUUGAUUUUGAGUUCAUGCAUCAUGAGGGUUCUGGGAUUUGCAUCAAUUAGUGUGUUGUUUUCGAAACUGCAAGUAUGUGUGUUCUUCUUCUUCUUCUUCUUGUUCAUCUGCAUUUCCUUUCAUGGUGUCAAUUUGGGGUUUAGUUCAUAGGUUGAUUGUUCUUGAGUCUGUUCAGUUUUGGUGUUUUGACAGUUUAGGGAAUCCGAUGAUUUGUUGUGUUCUUUUCUGCCUUCUAACUGUUUGAUUCAUUGUCUAGCUUAAAGGAACAUUCUUUCAUUCUUUUCUGGGGGGUCAUUCAUUAUUCAUUGUUCAUUGAUUCAUUCUUGCUGUUGUUAAUCAAAUACUUUGUUAAAUACAGACACUCACAUUAUACUGUAGGAAUCUUUUUGUUUUUUUUCUCAUCGGAUUCCUGCCUGUUAUUGUUCUGUUAGAUUUUGGUUUCUUGGUAGAUUACAUUACAUUCCCACAGACUCACAUUACUUUGAGGUUCAUAGGUCAGAUUACUUACAAAAGAGAAAAAAAAAGAGGAAGGAUUGGGAGGAAUAUAGAGGAUGUUGGCAGGUUGUUCUUCUAGUUCCACACUGUUGUCACCUAGGCAUAGAUUAAGGAGUGAGUCAGCAGCAGGAGGAGCAGGAGGAGCACAGUUUCCAGCUUGUCAGUUCCAGUUACCUUCAAUGAGCACACAGAGAUUGGACUUGCCAUCAUGCACAUUCCCCCGCAAAGAUCAAUCGUCGAGAUCACAAUCCAUUAGGCCAGUUGGUGUUUCAGUUGACAACAGGCCACUAGACUCCAAGACCAGCAGGUGUUCUUCUCUCAAGCAGAACAUCCGGCUUCCACCAUUGGCGACAGCAACCGUCAAGGAUGACUUUUGGGAUCAGGGAAGGAAUCAGCAGAAGCAGAAGAAGAGAUUUGCAGAGCAGGAUGAUGAUGAUGAGUCCUACAUCAACAGGACUAAGAGGAAGAAAUGCAGCAAUGACCAUGGUAAGUCUGCUAAUUAUGGCCAUGAAGGUGGACUAGGCCAGUUUGGUUCUGGGAAGUUUUGGUUUCAACCAAAUUUUCAGGUUCCUUUCUCUUUGACAUGUUCAGGAGAAGAUGAAAGGGUUUGCUAUGUCCCCAGUGAAGUGAUUUCACCACCUAGGCCACUGUCAAACAAUCCAUGGGUUGAUUCAGUCAUAACUCAGAUUACUGACUUAGGGGGGAAAGACGGAGAGGGAAGCCAAAGAAGACCAGGGAAAGAAGCUUCAGGUUCUAGCAGUACUUCAUCAGACAGUGACAGUUUGGAGCUCAGGCUAAGUGAGAGGAAUCCUGAGGAGCAUGAAGUUGGUAAUGGCUCAAGAAAUCCUCAUCAUCCACAACACAAUGCUGCAACAAUGGAGGCUGCCGAGGAGGAGGAUCAGGACGGAGAGGUUAGAGGUUUGGAGCUGGUUAGCUUGAUCACAUCAUGUGUCGAAGCAAUCAGGUCAAGGAACGUGGCGAUGGUCAACCAUUUCAUAUCCAAGUUGGGAGAACUUGCUUCUCCAAAGGGAAGUCCUAUCAGCAGGCUGAGUGCUUAUUACACCGAGGCUUUGGCUCUCAGGGUUACAAGGAUAUGGCCUCAAGUAUUCCAUCUCGCCACUCCGAGGGAUGUCGACCGGGUUGAAGAUGAUACAGGGACUGCAUUGAGGAUUAUGAAUCAGGUGAGUCCGAUUCCGAAGUUCAUUCACUUCACUGCCAAUGAGAUGUUGCUGAGGGCAUUUGAAGGGAAAGACAAGGUUCACAUCAUUGACUUUGACAUCAAACAAGGGCUUCAGUGGCCUAGCUUCUUUCAGAGUUUGGCAUCAAGAUGUAACCCUCCUAGCCAUGUUAGAAUCACCGGUGUAGGCGAAUCGAAGCAAGAUCUGAACGAGACAGGAGACCGGCUAUCUGGGUUCGCAGAAGCGUUGAACUUGCCCUUCGAGUUCCAUCCGGUUGUGGAUCGAUUGGAAGACGUGAGGCUAUGGAUGCUUCACGUGAAGGAAGGAGAGAGUGUUGCAGUAAAUUGCCUAUUCCAGAUGCACAAGAUACUCUAUGACACCAAUGGAGUGGCACUGAGGGAUUUCAUAGGACUAAUCAAGAGUACAAACCCAGUAACGGUCAUCAUGGCAGAGCAAGAAGCUGAGCACAAUGGAUCCAGCUUGGAAUCCAGAGUCUGUAAUUCUCUGAGGUACUAUUCUGCUGUGUUUGACUCCAUUGACUCUGGUCUUCUCCCAUUGGAGAGCCCAGUCAGGAUCAAAAUGGAGGAGAUGUUUGCACGGGAGAUCAGGAAUGUAGUUUCCUGUGAAGGGAUUGACAGGGUCGAGAGGCACGAGAAGUUUGAGAAAUGGAAGAGCUUGAUGGAGCAAGGUGGAUUUCAUAGCGUGGGAAUCACCGAGAGGGAGUUUCUUCAGGGUCAGAUGUUGUUGAAGAUGUACUCUUGUGGUGGAAACUAUGGGGUUAUGAAGCAAGGAGGAGGAGAAGCAUUGGCCCUCACACUUACUUGGUUAGGAGAACCACUCUACACAGUCUCGGCAUGGAUACCGGUGGACAUUGCAGGAAGCUCGUCGUCAUUUUCGCAGCCUUAGUUCAUACACCAGCAUACAGAAAAAAAGGACAGAUAAGAUUCUUUGUAGGUAGCAAAAAGGAAAGUCAUUUGUUACUAUUCUUUCAUUCUUUUGUUUGCAAAUACAUAAUCAGUCUGAUAUUUCAGCAGGUAAAAAAGAACACUAUUCGUUUGUAUGAAUCACAGUUACCUUUUCUUAUUCAAUUCAGUUCUUUGCACACAGAUUGUCCAUUGUCACACGGUUCAUUUUGCCAUAUAUGAAAUAAAAAUUCAGUACAUUUCUGUGUUCUUCAAGUCAUGUGUUCUUAUUACUUAUUAGUAGCAGAUUUUACAAUGAAAGCAAAAUCCUCAAUGUUUAGCCCUAGGGAUUAGAAUAAGGGGCUGUUCCUUCCUCAGAGUUAAGCCAUAUUUUUCUCUCAUUUCUAAUUCAACUCCAUCCGGAAGUGACCAGUCAAAACAAUGGAUCAAAGAAGCAACAAUUAGGGAAGCAUGCUUUGUAGCCAUUGUGAGACCAGGGCAAAUUCUCCUUCCUGAACCAAAAGGUAUGAACUCAAAGUCAUUCCCUUUGAAGGGAGUUUAGUUGAGAAACCUCUCUGGACAGAAUCUCAAGGGCUCUUUCCAGUUCUUGGGGUCUCGUCCGAUCAUCCAGAAGUUCACCAGUACCUGUGAUUUCUUUGGGAUGCUGUGCUUCAUUACUUGGCAGGUCAAAAUGGCGCGGUGUGGGAGGAGGAAUGGCCCUGGAGGGUGCAGCCUCAGGGUUUCUUUGAAACAAGCUUGAAGGUAUGGUAAUUUUGUUACUGAUGAUUCUUUGAUUGCAGCAUUCUUCGGUUCCAUUGCAGAUGAGAUUUCUUGUUUCACCCUUUUCAAUGCAUUUUGGAUUGUUUAUCAGUUCUGCCAUCAUCCACUCAGUUGUUGAGCUGCUGGUGUCUGUUCCAGCUGACAGUAUCUCAUAAACCAUAUAUACCUCCUCUACUUGUAUUUUUACUAUAACAAUCAUCUCCGCUAUCAUCACUAUAAUAAAACUCCAUCCUCCCCGUGAAAUAGUCGAUCUCAAGAUCAAAAACCACGUUAUUCUCCGUGUUAUUCCUCCUUUAUUCAUCCUUUAAUUUCCGAUUAUUCCAGAUUUAUUUACAAGUACAACUCGCAAAUUCAGUUAAUCCAACCAGCCACUUUGACAUUGGAGAAUUUUGAAUCACCAAACUUUUAACACCAGUAUGAAAAUGGGAGGGACAGAUCGCUUACCUUAUCAUGGAAACUGUAUGACAAGAUUGAAUAUGAACCAAAUACAUUGGAGAAACAAGUACUCCAAUCCACCAAGCUAGCCAAGCUACCAGACAACAUAAUGAGUAUGUUUGGGAGCAGAGAAAGAAAAGAUUUUGUUCCCAAACACAUGCAAAAAAAAUUAGAGGACAAAACAAAAGGACAUCAUGUUACUGUUGGUUGCUAGCUAGUUUUGCAAGUUGCAAAGGCAAAGCAGUACUCAUGAGCCGCACCAUUUCACCCACAAAAACAACCAACUAAACGACCCCUAUGGACAGAGCCACUUUGAACUGUUGCCAUGAACGUCUUUGUCAAGAUUUCAGUGUCACAAUAAAAAUCAGGGUGGGGGGGAAGGUUAAUUUCCCCCCAAACUAUGGUUAUGUAUGUACAGUUUUGUCAAUGGUUGUGCUAGAUAGUACUCUAGCCAAAUUCUAGCAAGGUUAAUCACUUUGUUGUUAGGCUUUAUAGGGAAGGAAGAAGUGUGCAUGUUGAGUACUCAACUAACUACUCCGUCGUGUGGUUAUAAUUAAGUGGUCUUAAAUUCGAGGUAGAUUUUGAUUCUGUUUUUAGAACGUACAUUAAUGACGAUGGUCUAUUCUAUUUAUAUUAAGAUGUUGAUCCUGAGGAUGUUUAAUUCUCUGUGUAUAGCCUAAUGCAUUUCAAAUUCUGACUAUCCGACUCUAUUCCCCCAACGAAAUCACAAUGUAUGGAUGGAUGGGAUGGUAUUGGCGUUUUCCUAAGAUUUUUGAAUAUUGUAAUCGAAAGAUUUAUGAAUUGUAACCGGAAGGUUUGUGCAAAUCUUCUCGUUACAGUAUUCGCAAAUCUUCCGGUUAGAGAAUGAUUCAAUGGUAUAAUUUUCUUCGUGUUAUGUCGUUAUUAUAUCAGUGUAACGCAAACUUAAUAUCCGCAAUCGUUUAAUUUAAAAAUCUGUUACGUUUAAUCUGAGUUCAGCUCGUAUAUGGAUUGAGCUCACGUUUUAAUUGGUUUAGUGCAUUUUAACCAAUUCCGUAACUAAUUGAUGUUAACCUAACUCACCGAAGAUCGAGUUUAAAUUAAGAGCACUUCACAAACUAAAUAAAUGACUAAAAUGUAAUUACACAAAAAUUUAGGGUUAAAAUAAAAAACUGGUUUGUCCAACGAAAUGAAACAAUGCAUUUGGGAAUUCUACAUGUGCAUUUGGUAAGUUUUAGAAAUUGCCAUUUUUAUAAUUUAGGUUUGGAGUUGAUUUUUUACAUAAUUUUCGAUUUAAUCGUGCCUAUAAAAAUAAUUUUUUGUUAUGUUAGUGUUGAAUCAGGAUGAAUGGCAAUACCGUCAAUAUCUCUCUAUAAACAGGGGCAAAUCCGUGCUAGUCGUUACAAAUUCAAUUCACCAAAUUUGUUUUUUUUUAAUGAUUAAUAUUCGCCGGGGUUAGCCAAGAAUAAAUGCCAAAAUGCUGAGGUGGACCAACAAUUAAAAGUUCGUUGGUGGUAGUUGCAUCCUCCCUCCUANNNNNNNNNNNNNNNNNNNNNNNNNNNNNNNNNNNNNNNNNNNNNNNNNNNNNNNNNNNNNNNNNNNNNNNNNNNNNNNNNNNNNNNNNNNNNNNNNNNNNNNNNNNNNNNNNNNNNNNNNNNNNNNNNNNNNNNNNNNNNNNNNNNNNNNNNNNNNNNNNNNNNNNNNNNNNNNNNNNNNNNNNNNNNNNNNNNNNNNNNNNNNNNNNNNNNNNNNNNNNNNNNNNNNNNNNNNNNNNUACAUGUUAUAGAUAACUGAAAAAUCAAAUUUCAUUAUGAUACCUCUAUAAAUAAUGGCCAAAUAUCAAACUGGUCAACAAUGAAGAGGUUAAAGGCGCAAGAAAGAGUACCAAUCUUAGACAUGCUCAUUGGCCAUUGAUAGUCGGAUAGCACGAGUCCCCAACUUUGAAACUAAAUUCAAUAAUUAGGUCACGUUAUUCAAGAUUGAACUUGUUCGAACUCUUUACUAUAGAUAUACCAACAUAUGCCCUUCAUCAUAUAAACACCAAUUUCACGAUAACCAAUAUGUUUCACCUAGUAAUAUCAUACUACUAAACAAAAUCUCAAAGACUAAUUUAUUAUUGAUUAUUGAAUUUUUUUAAGAAAUACAUUAUAAUUCGGUCUAUAAGGACAUCUCCGUCUUAAAAUUUUAGUGAUUGCUAAAAUGAUGUGACGGGUGAGGUGGUACAUUAUUAACAAUUAAUAUGGCUCCACGUAGACUUGAUAAAUGAGUAAGCUUUCUAAAUUAGAAAGUCAAUUAGCAAUGUCACGUAGAUAAAUGGACCAUCUUUUAAGAAAAUAAUAUUUAUGAUUUGGAUUUAUAUUAUGAAUGAUGUAUUUUUAUUGGUAGAAAAACAUUGUUAUGAAGAUAUAAUGAUGAAUAUAAAUUAGGCUUGGCAUUUUGGUCCGGAAAUUCAAAAACCGCCCGAAUCCGAUGCGGUUAACGCGGGCAAAAUUAGGUUUGAGCGGGUGGUAGAUCAGAUUUGGAUUAAUCCGAAUCUGAAGGUGACGGGCGACAGGUGGGUAUCGGAUUCACUAGUAUCUGAUCCGACUCCGCCUGGAAGUAUGUAUACCUGCAAAAAGGCUCUAGAUUAGUUUGGUCUAUAUUUUUGUUGGAGGGAUUAUUGUUUGGUUUAAGUUACUAGUGGCUACAAUCAGUUUUGCUAAUGAAGGUUGCUAAGAAAAUUUAGUAUUUUGGAUAAUUGCACGGUUGUUUGGUUGCUUUGCUUUGAUUUAAACUCGAUUUUUAAUUUUGGUUUAGUAUAUUUCAGAUCAAAUUCGAUCCCCGACCAAACUCGAAAUCCGACAAUGGGCAGAGAUCGUAUGACAUCUAAAUCCGAUUUCUAUCAUUAGGUGGGGAUUCUCCGAAUCUGAAAAUAUAACGAAUGGGUAAUAAAUUCAUAUAAAUCCGACUCCGACUCACCCGAUUGCCAAGCCUAAUAUAAAUUAUUAGGGAUGGAAGUGACUUGAAAUGAGUCACUAAAUAAAUUAUUAAAACUUACUAAAUAAAUUAUUAAAAUUGCUUAUAUAAUNNNNNNNNUUAUAAAUAAAAAUAAAAAGAAUAACUUUCGGUUCUCCAUAUAUUCGAUUGUGUACAAACUACAAAAUACUCUAAGAGGCCACUAACCGAAGUGUGGGCCACUAACCGAAAUUGAUUCUCGAGUAUCCUUUCGGUUAAUGAUUCGAUUACCUUUUAGGGAUAUUUGCUUUCGGUGGCCCAUCUCAUCAUUUUCAUUCACGAUAGUGAAGUUUAUUUUGACGAUUGGGUAGUUGGAAGAGUCCUUUUACUUAGGGAGGUCAAAUUAUAUACCUAGGGUAGGCCCGUUAGGGCAAAAAGCGAGAUAAGAGUUAACAAUGUUGGUUGAUCGUUGAGAUUUAAUCGUGAAAAAUUGGCAUUUUGAUUCAAACUUGGUGAGACACCUUAUUUAUAGAUGGAUCAUUUAGAAGCUUUUGGACGAUCGAGCUUAAAAGCGUAUUAGAUUUAACCCAUUGCGACUAGAUUGACAUUGAUAUAUACAUGACGAUAUUUUAGUAGAUCGCCUCCGACUAAUGGCUAGAAUCGUUGUGGUCACUCCAACCUAUGGGAUGAACUCACGCUGCCCGGUUCAAAUUAUAAAUGAUGUCAUGCACGCUCUGUUUAAUUUGGAGCAAAUUGAUAUAUAUUCAGAGAGAACAUUCUCUCGGUACGUACUCUCUGUCUACUUUCUUUCGCCCUCUUGAUUAACCAUAUGUCGUUAAUUCUCGAGCUCGCUACUAUUACUGUAAGUGAAUAAUAUAAAUAUCAUCUGAAUCCUCUCCCAACAACUCGAGUUAUUGAGAUGCAACGGUUCUUGUCAUGGUAUCAGAGCCUUACAUGACUGAGAGGUCUUCGUUCCGAAUCCCGGUAGCCCCCAGUUUGUGCACAUGACUUAUCAAAGUUGUGCAAAUUAAACCUCAGCUCUUAUGAGAGCUUCCUUUUGAAGGGGCGUUUGAGUGAAUAAUAUAAAUAUCAAUCAUUUUCUCCCAACAAUUCGAAUUAUUGGGAUGCAACAGUUUUUGACAAUUACAUCACUUUACCUGCGAACCAGUCACAUAAGGAUGGACAAUGUGAUCAUACGCAGAACCGGCGACACAUGUUCAUGGCCGCUUGUUGCUCAUCCCUAAGAUCUGGUCUCAUGAUCUUUUAAUCACGUAAGAUUCUAAUAUCAUAUCAUAAAUCAUUACGUUUCAAUAACUAAAGUUAUUAAAAAAAAUUCUGAAUAUUAAUAUUUAUACUAUCUCACUAAACCAUUUGAUUAAACUACAGCCGCCCAGCCACACGACCUUUGAAACGAUGACGAUACCAAUAAUACCUAGUAGUAAUGAAUCUUCUAAGUUAUCCAAACACAGUGCGUUAUUGCGCACUAUAGUACCCACCGACUCUGUGCUGUGAUUUCGACAUCGUCGGCUACCACGUGUCCUCUCCCAAAACCUUUGGCGACGGGACGGGGCCACAAUCCGCGACCGGGAAGUGGGAAGCAUUUAUACGGUUUGGUUUGUGGUUGUGCAACGGAUUGGAAAAUUAUCGAGAUUUAGAACGAUGGCCGUUUGUCAGGCAAAGACAUUUAUAUAUCGUGUCAUAAAUCGUUGUAACCUUAAUAUUUAAAUUAUUGGAAAAUGUUUCAAGAUUGGUUUAAUUUAUGACUCAAAUCCCUUGUUUAUGGGUCGAGAGAAUAUAUCAGGAUUUUAAAUUCUUGUUAGCCACGAGAAACAAUUAUAAAAGAAACUUAUUUUAGAUUUAUAUAAAUGCCUAUAAAGUUGUAAUUCUAAUUAAUAAGUAGUAAUUAUAGUGGAGUUUUCGACCUCAUCACCCACAAUUUUUCUUUGUAAGAAGAAAUUUCCACGUAAAAUCGUUUAUAAUAGUGAAUUUCUCUUUCAAUUCAUUUUUAUUUUAUUCAUUAAUUUUCGCUUGUUAAUUUCUCUUUCAAUCCAUCUUUAUUUCAUUCAUUGCUUUCGCUUUAGUUCCCAUAUUUCAUACAAACUAGUCUUUGUUCUAGGUUCUUGAGUCGUUAUCCGUAGGCCAACAGGGUCUAUUUAAUAAUUCUAAACUGAAUUUAAAAUAAUUGAAAUCAAAGACAUGAUAAAACUUUGAAAAAAAAUAUAUGUCUAUGGAAAAUGAAAUAAAAUUUCGAGUCUUUCAUACGUAACCUUUUUUUCUUCCAACCAAUUCACCCAAUCAAACUAAGUCUUGUUCUCGAAAUUUGGGACCAUGACUAAUAUUGAAUAGUAACAAAGAAAAAUAUGACGAAUAUGUCACACUAAUUUAGCAAUAAAAUCAAUCUAUAUGUAAUUGUAGCUAGCUAAUGGGGAGGGGGGCAGGGAUCCCCCACAAGCAUCCCGCCUUCUAGCGAGAGCAACCCGCGGGUCGUCCAUUUUAUCGAGAUGUUCGGAUUAGAAUGGAGGAGAAGGGAGAUGUGGCUAAUAAUACCAUAGGCAUCUCAAGGCCAAAGAGUCGGCGGAGCAAGCAGGGCAGAGACGACAAUUUGACCGUCUUAGCGGAUACAAAUUGGCUCGGGAAGGCGGGUAGUGAACCGAACAGCUUCCAGUAUGGCACGACAUUCGGUAUGAAAGGAAGAGUUACAGUCGAAAACUCAUGACUCUAAAAUAAGGAGUAUCAGGAAAUAGACCACAAAAACUGUCCUUUUUUACUUUUCUUUAUUUCUCACUUUUCUCUCUAUGAUGAGACUGUCCUUUUUACGUCUUAACUUCGUUAAGCUCAAAUUACGCUGAGAAUUUUUGUUAUUCAGUGUCUUUGAUCAUUCUCGAAUAUAAGUACAAAUACAUCUCAAAACCCCCUAAUCUCUCACUCCAAUUAUCUCCUCAAUUAAUCAGUGUCACGUUCUGAAGAAUAUAUAUAUAACAACAACUCUUCAUCUCAGGUGACUGAUCACCCAUAUGAAAUGUGAUAACUUAUAAGGGGAGACAAUCAAUCGACCAAUCAUACAUUAAAAACACCAAAUUAAAAUUCAAUAAUGUCGGGCAUAUCAUCUUGGCGAAUGGCGACUCUAUCACUCGGGAGAUUCAAAACUCUUCGAGUACGUCCAUGUUAGAGAUCCUGUUUAGCUCCGGAUUGUCCGACGGGCCAGAUAAGCCCAUUCAGUACCACGCUUGGCUUUUAGAUAGCUCCUAAUCUCGACGAGGAGCUAUCUAAAGCCGAAAAUAUAAAUUAAUAAAUCUAUGUAUAAGCAAGACAAACAGAACCCAACUUGGCAAGGUUUUGAAUGAUUAACGUUUUGAUUAAAUUAACGUUACAUGCUUCGUCUCCACUGGGUCAUCUCUUCUCCCUUAUCCAUUAUGAACAAAUUAAAAAACACCAGACAUCACUAUAUGUGGUUAACAAAUGCCUAAGCUGACUCAGAUCCACGUUGCAACGAGUGCACUUUUGCUGCUGACUGUACCUCUUCCUAGCUCCCCAUUGGUACACAUGUUACCCCUCUUGUUAUUUUAUUAUUUUAUAUGGUGGUGGGGAGAGGAAACCCUCCCCUCAGCCACUUGUUUAUUUAAUUAAUUAAUUUUAAUUUUAAUUAAGUUGGGAAGUGGGAACUAGCUAGUGUUUUUAUCGUUAUUUUUAAUAAUAUAUGUGUGUUGCUAUUGAAUCAUCAUAGUACUAUUAGUCAAUUAUUUAAAUUGAGAAAGAAAGAGCAAAAGUGUAACGAAAGUUUACGAAUUGAGUCGAGCUUAAUUUUAUUGUGUUUAAAUUUGGUUUGUUAAAUUUUAGAUGAAUUUGAGCUUAUUGGAGUCUGAAUUUUAACUAUGUUUGACGAGUCAAAUUUGAACUCAACUCAAAUUUUAUUAUCAUUAAAAACUAAUAUUUUUUUAACUAAUUUUGAAGCUCGUGUACUAAAAAUUAUCGACCAGUCAAGCUAUAAAAGAAAAUUUAAAUUUCUACUUUUCUCAAAUAAAAUAGUUGAAUCUAAAUAACAUGCCACUUGUAUUUUAAUUAGUACAACCACAGUCACAAAUUACACAUAUUUUAUUGUAAUAUGAUUUUCGAGACAAAACCCAUGUUGCAUUAUUGAGCCUCUUGAUGAGCUAUAACACUCGAGUUGGCUCUCGAGUUCGAACUCAAACCAACUUAUUAGACUAAUAAGUGGGAAAACAUUUUUGCUCAAACUUAACUUAUUUAAAAUUCAGCUAAGUAAUUAUCAUAAUACUAUAAAUUAAUUGGAAAAGGAGAGGAAAAGUGUAGCCCUACUGGCCUGCCCUAAUUGUGUCUUUUUAAUUUGUUUAUUGUGGGGGGAUUAAUUAAUGACGUGGACGACGAAAGCAAUGGGAAAGUGAAGGGAAAAAGUGUAAAUGGAAAAUUAAAAAAGUGCAAUGGAUUAAUUGACUACUACUAGGUGUAUUUUAUUUUUUAUUUUAAUGUGAAAGGAGUUACAUAAUAAUUCAUGGAAAAUAAUUACAUAAUAAUGGUCAACUUUAACAGGUCAUUUUCAGUUUAUAUUAGGUAUUCGUCACUGCUCAAAGCUGUUUAUGCAUAAUUUUAUUGUAAUUUACCUUAUAAAAUUACAAGGUAAAUGUGUAUAUUUUAUUUUAUAAGAAGUGUAAAGCUGUCUAAAUUACUGGUUUCAUUAUUUUUGCCAAACUUGGUUUCAUUAUUCUAUUGCAAUUAUGUUCUAUGAUUAACAUUUUACUAUUAGGUUCACCAAUUCAAUGGGAUAGGUGUGUUAGUAUGAAAGUCAGAUAAGAGUCAACGUUGUUAUGUGAUCGACUGAUUAUAUGGGUUUAAUCGCAUGUCAUUAGUAGACCUCGUUCGUAAAUGGGUUGGUUAAUGGUGCUUUGGCGAUCGAGCCCAAAACCUCAUGAGACAUAAUUCACUAUGGUUAGGUCAUCACUUGGAGGUAUAAGGCGAGAUCUUAGUGAACUGCCUUAGAUUGAUUGUUAGAAUCUUUCAGGUCGUUUAGACAAUUGGAAUUAAGUUACACCGCCCAAGACCAGACUCGCCAUACUAUAAAUUAAUAAUGAUAUGUCACCACUCUUGAAAGGGCAUGUUGUCAUAAAUUCGUAGGGGGCGUUACAUUGAUAUAUAUACUUUGUCCAUUUUCCUUUUCUCUCUCCAUUAAUUAAUAUUAUUUCAUUCACGAACUUACUACCUUAUAUAACUUAACUUGCAAAGGAAAUCACACAAGACUAAACCAAACGAUACAAUUUCAAUUCAACAAUCACAUGACCAAAACUUCUAUUGUCCACCCGCAAUCUAAUCAUUUUACUAAGAGAUUUUAUACUAACUAGUAUUAGAUAGGGUUUUGAGAAGUAGAGAGCUAGCACUCAAGUUCACCAAAAUUAGAUUUCUAAUUUUUUUUAAGAUGCUAGCAAGAAGUUAGCGAAUUAAAAAAAUUUCAAAACUAAACAUAACACCAUUAUCGUAUAGUCUAAAAAAAAUAUUUUUUAACUGUAUUUGACUAUUAUUUGGUGGGGUUAAUAUAGUGAAAAUUGGAUUUUUAGUCACUUUCAACAUGUCAAUUUGAAAAUUUUCAAUUUUCAUAUGAAAUUUGUCAAUUGUCGUGUGUUAUAACCCAUGGAAAUUGACAAAUUUCACAUGAAAAUUUUCAAAUUUUCAAAUCGAUUAAUAUUUUACCUGUAUUGGAAAUGACUAAAAAAUUGAAUUUCACUAAGGUAAUCCCUAUUAAUAAUGGUCAAAUGAAGUUAAAAAUCAUUACUGCAACCGACAUCAACUUUCUGAUGCUAUGUGGAGCACAAGAAGAUGUACCGGCUCUAAGCCAUGGGUCGAAUGUUUCACAACAUGAGGACCUAAACCAGUUCCAAAUUCGUGUGGAGAAAGGGCAGUGGAGUAGAUGCGACAUACCGAUUCCUCACUCGCACGACAAAGGACACACAUGUUUGGGACGAUCAUAUACCUCAACGUCUCAUGUUAUCGAUGAUGGCGGCAAUAACGGGCAUGCACGGUUGAAUACCAAAAUUUCAGUUUAUUCAACAUGUGGUCAACAUCAUUUGUAGUCCAACAAUGUUAAUAAUUCUCAAUUGAUCACAAGUUUAACCGGGUGGGAAGUUGGUUGGAAUUUAACUGUCAAUCAGAAAAUUCGUUUUUUAAAACCGUAUUGUCGGAAUCUAAUUUCUCAAUCCGAUCAGGAAAACAUUCAAAAUUCUAUUUANNNNNNNNNNNNNNNNNNNNNNNNNNNNNNNNNNNNNNNNNNNNNNNNNNNNNNNNNNNNNNNNNNNNNNNNNNNNNNNNNNNNNNNNNNNNNNNNNNNNNNNNNNNNNNNNNNNNNNNNNNNNNNNNNNNNNNNNNNNNNNNNNNNNNNNNNNNNNNNNNNNNNNNNAUAGGCCGACUACUUAAUAGUAAUGUUGUCGUUAGGUAAACUUUAAGGUUACAGAUCGUUAACCCUUAAAUGAGACUAAUGAUGAUAUUAAAAAGUGUUGAAAUGAUUGCGUAUUAUUCCAAAAUUAUGUACUACAAUACAAUCUGUUUGGUGUGACAGAUUCUAGAAGAAAUUUCACCCCAGAAUCACAACUCAUCUUUAGUUUUAGAAAUAUAACAAGUUUUGACCUAUUAUUCUUAUUACUUGUAGUAGUAGCCUGUGAGCUGUGGUGGUGCCAAAGUACAACAACAGCUCAUUAAUCACUAAAAUCAUUGAAAAAAAUGGAAUUUCUUAGUUUCGAGACCAUAAUUUGUUUUUAUUUAUGUUCUUUUAACCGAUUCCCACGUCAUCACACAAUUAAUUGUCUUUUUUUUCAUUUUUAUUCCCCGAACGAAUUUGGAUUUGGAAUUAGAGAAAUGCUUUCUGAAUUCGAUUUAGAAAGUCCGAACAAUUCUCAACCAUCUAAAAAUGACAUCUUACAUCCGGCGACUAAAAACACAAGGCAAAAUUAAUAUUUCACAACCAAUACAAAUACAAAUGUAUAUGCUAAGUAUUACAACAACUAAUGUACUAAGUAUCAUACGAAUUAUGUAUACACUUAUGAACGGAUUUUUACAAACCUACACACAUUUUUAUGAGGCGCACAACUCUCCGUACAAAGUUAUACGGCCAGUCGUCGGAAAAAUGGAUAAAAAAAAAUAGAAUCGUAGAGCCAACAACAGUGAUCACGUUGGUGUAAAAAAUUUCGUCAAUCAAGGUCGACAAUUGUCGGGGAUCUUUUCGGAAAUCUAAAACGGUGGUCAAGCAAUUAUAGAUUGUUGGUCUGUUGGAUUCCGAUCAACAAAAAUAUUUAAACAACACGGUCUAUAUUACCUCAAAUUAACCUUAACUCUUAGAUCAUAUGAAGAUCUAAAGGUUUAAAUGACUUCCGAAUCGAAUCCAAAAGUCAUCUCUUUUAACUCCGAAAUCGGACUCCCGGAGAACAGAUAAAUUAAUGGAUAAUUUCAACGCUUGAUUCUCAACUGCAAAAAAAAAAAUCCACUAAUAUUAAUUAUCCGGCCUCCCCUAGUUAAUCUCUCCCAUGAUCACCUUCUUCCCCAAAUUUAAAUACAGUCCCAGUUCUAUCCCAAAGCACAAGAAUCCCCAAUUCUCAUCCACAGUCAUUACUACCAUCGAUCAGAAUUUCCCAGAUAAAAAGUCUGUACCUUUGCAGUACUUUUCCUUGAAUUUCAGCGUUUACGCGUCAAAAUCAACCAAAUUAGGGUUCUUUACUAUUUUCCUCUUCAAUUUUCCCACCAAACAAACAGACAAAUUUGUAUAUAUAAUAUCAGUUUGCUGCCGCGUUCAAACAAAUCCGGUGCUUUUUGAGGAGCUUCCUCGCCUACGCGUCUUGCUUACAAAUACCCAUUCCUCUACCAUGUUGCCACCUCUCCCCUCUCUCUCCCUCUCUGGCUCUGUCAGUUCUUAAAUAGUUCUGGAUCGGGUUACGUUCGAUUAUCGAAGUUUCUAAGGUUUUUUUUUUUUUUUUAAUUUGCUGUCGUCUUGAUGGGUGCGAAUUUCUCGUUGGUGUUCAUGGAUCCGGCUGCUACGUGUUCUCUGUUCUCCGCCUUCUCUCUCCCGAGUCACCAGCCGCCGAAGCAGCCUCAGAGGCCGACGCUAGGCGACGUGCCGGAGAGCUGCGUGGCUCCGGUUCUGGCGAAUUUGGACCCGGUUGAGAUUUGCAAGCUGGCGACUUUGAACAGGGCGUUUCGUGGCGCGUCAUGGGCUGAUUUCGUCUGGGAAUCGAAGCUUCCGGAGAAUUACCGGACUCUCAUGGAGAAAGUUCUGGGCGUUGUUGAUGUUGACGGCGACGGCGGCGGGAAGAGGAUUAGUAAGCGCGAGAUUUACACCAGGCUUUGCGCUGCCAAUUCUUUCGACGGCGGCACAAAGGUUCGUUUCUUCCGAUCUUUCUUUCCUCAACCCGUACAUCUUAUCGGAUAGAAAAUUGAGUUGUUAGGGUUAAAUUGAUGAAAUUUUGUGUUAACUGAAGUUUAUGUAUCUUGUUUCUGCAGAAAGUGUGGCUGGAUAAGACUACAGGUGGUGCCUGUCUAUCCAUUGCUUCAAAGGGAUUGUCGAUUACCGGAAUCGAUGAUCGGAGAUACUGGAAUCAUAUUCCCAGUGAUGAAUCAAGGUGAGGGCUUGGAAACUUGGAUCAGUUAUGUUCGUUUGUAGCUGUUUAAUGCUGUAAGCUAAUCUAACUGUUCUCAUUUCCUGCAGAUUCGCCUCUGUAGCAUAUCUCCAGCAGAUAUGGUGGUUCGAGGUAAGCGGGGAAUUCGAGUUCCCCUUCCCAGCAGGGACUUACAGUCUCUUCUUCAGGCUACAGCUAGGACGAACUGGCAAGAGAUUCGGCCGCAGGAUCUGCAACACGGAGCACGUCCAUGGCUGGGAUCGAAAGCCAGUCCGGUUCGAGCUGUGGACAUCUGGCGGUCAGUAUGCAUCUUCCCAGUGCUUUUUGAACGAUACCGGGAAGUGGAAUCUGUACCAUGCCGGAGACUUUGUCGUCGAGAAGGGUUUGAACACACCGACGAAGCUCCGGUUGUCGAUGACACAGAUCGAUUGUACACAUACCAAGGGAGGUCUGUCUUUGGACAGUGUACUAGUCUUCCCAUGUAAAUUUAGAGAAAGGUUGAAGCAUUUUUAGAGCGCUGUUCUAACCUUUGUGACGGAGUGGAGUUUCAGGUACUUCUCUGCAUUUGUUGUAGUGGUGAGUUUAGUUAUAGAAGAGCAAGGGAGAGAGAUGUCAGGGACCUAGUGGUUUUUUUAUUGGCUUGGCUUGGCUCAUCUUUUGUGAUAUAUGCGUUCAAAGAGCAAUGUGUAUAACAAGUUUUGUAAUGUUGAUCCAGUACAUGUAAUUCUUUUGUUCCUGUCUCAUAAUUUCAACAGUACCUUGAAGCCAUUGAUGAUGUGAUUCAAUAUCUGCAGAUUCUGUUUUUUUUACAGAGAAGGCAAGAACAUCCAUAUAAGUAGAUUUCAAUCUUCCCCAUUACCGGUGUAAAAAAAAACUGAUGUGCUACUGUUGAUUUACAGAUUGUGUAGCAAUUAUAACCAUGUAGAAAGCAUCAUCCUAUUCUUCCAAAAAAGUUAUAUAUAAGACUAGAUCAGGUCUACCUUAGAUUAGACUACUAGAAGCUUAAUCCUAAACUUUCAUGUUAUGAACUACACAAAAAAAGCAGAUCAGAGGACUGUAGAGAUGAGAUCUUCAUCCCUUCCAACCGAAGCUUGUGGAGUCUCCGAAAGAACCAUCAGACAUACUGUUCUCGAAUAGCUUGCGGAAAGCUUCGUAUUCCUCUGACUGAUGAUUAAGCGUUUCUACAUGGUUGCUUCCCUUGUUGAUGAUACUACGAUCACUCGAAGACUCCCAGCUACUGGCGGCGGUACAGUUCUGUGCCGAUGAUGAGUGAUCAGAAGGCAGCCUAUUCCAGGAACUAUACGCUGUUGGCAAACCAGCAAACAUGUCAUCGAUUGUAUUGUUUACCACUUCUCUCUCGGUCCAACCUGUGUUCUGGCUCUUGUUGCUUGCUCUCUGUAGUAGCUUCAUCAUAUGCUCUUGUAUGAUGCUUCUCUCACAGGUAGAGUAGUUUGAAGAAGGGACGUUUUGGAUGAACUCUGGGACGGAUAUCUGAGAACCUUGAUUGAACUGUUUGUAUAGAUAAGAAGGUUCUGCGAAUCCAGCUACAUUAAGAUCGGAUGCUUGACUCAGUAAUUUCAUGUAACUUCCAUAAUCGGCCAAAGCUGCCUCUUCGGCUGUGGUAAAGACUCUACCUUUUCCCUUGAUUAUGCGGUCAUCCUUUCUCAGCAAGUCAGAUUCCUCGGUUGGUUCCUGGACAUUCGCCGAGAACUUCUCAGUGUAAGUCUUCAAACUCUCUGCAAAUAUGACAUAUCAGAUGUUUUGCCGGUGAGAAACUCAGAUGCUCAUUACUAGUUACAUACCAAGAAGAUGUUCACUUACCUAUGGCUCCAAUCUUGUUCUGGCAACUGAAAGUCAUCAAGUCUUUCAUACUAUUCACUAUUUCAGCAAUCUGUCAACGUUACAAUAACCGGAGAGUGUUAGUGUAGUGUACCAUCAAGCGAAUUUAUACAAGUCCGCAAUACAAAAAUGCACCUGCAAGCAUCGGAUGUAUCGCUUGGGAAAACCUAUGUCGCCAGCAAGCUGCGAUUCGAAACUUCGCUCAAGACUGCAUCCAGCUGCCAACAACCUGCAUCAAUGCGAGCGACUCAUGACUCGGUUUAGUUCCAAUGUCAAUCCAAAGCUAGCGAACCAUUUAUUUCAGAUUUUUGCAGUUCACAUGGUAUGGUGGAACUUUGAGAGAUUCUUACACAUUGCUAUUUUCUCGUAGAUUAGGUGGGGUACUUCCUCGUCCACCACCAUCAAUUGCUUUCUGAUACUUCUGUGCAGUACGGAUGAAAUCAUUAACCUGAAAUGGAUAUGAGUGGUUGAAUAUGGUUACGAUUUCUAACUCGGUAACAAUAAACGCUACGAAAAUCGUAAAGGAUCGGCAUGCAAGAUGGGAACUGUGGCUGACUCGAGUAGUCGAGUACCUGAGACAAAACUAAGCUUUGAGGCAACAAUUCUUCAUGCUCCUUUGAACAAAAUUCUCAGCAAGAUAUCUAGCAAAAAAAAGGAAAGUCGAGGUAUAAAAGUUCAUCUGUAACUCCGGUCUCGAACUGUAUUUUGGUAAGCCUAGGGAGAACUUCAAAGGUCGCCUCUGCCGGUGAAGAAGGCUCAUUAACAAAUCAUUUCAAACGAUAAAGAUAUUGAAGUCCUGCAGAUAUAACAGAAAAGAAGGGGCUAUGACUGAGUACAAAAAAUGUUGAAAAGUUAUAUCCUUACCGAAGCCUCUUCCAGAUGUAGAACCACAUAGCUCACAGUGCCAUGCAUCCUGGCCAAACAAGGUUAACUCAUUAGACGAAUUGUUCUAAUCACACGAAAUUCUUAAUGUCAUUCAUCCUCAGACUUCAAGGAAGCUCGAGAAACCAAUUUCAUUUUGUACAGAAUAGAGAUACAAAGAUAGAAUAUGUACUUUGAUUUUCUACAUGCAACUGUUUCGAGGUUUCAGCGAAAAAAGAAUAAAUCUUUGCAUGUAAAGAAAAGCAUUAACAUAAAUCAAUUUACGGGUGAGAAUCUUGAAUCUAACCAUAGCUGCCUGAACGCUAUCACAUUUAGACAAGCACCACCUUUUCUUGGCACAUGGUGCAAAAUACUCUGCGACAAACUUCCUCCAGUAACAUAUUUCAUUGCUCUACAGGAAAAUGGAAAGGAAAUGGUUUUCGUUAGACAUAAUCCACAAAUAAAGACUUGAACCAAUAUAAGUAAUGGUUUAGCAUAAGAGCUUCCAACAGAAAUUUGUAUCCAGGCACAUUGUCAAGAUAGUAACUUACCGAUGGCCUAUGCUGAAGAUGAUACAUGUACUGCAUUACCCGACGGAAGCAUACGUUGCCAUUGAAAAGCUGUGGAGCAGGAUGUGCACGUUUGCAGGCAAGUUGUUGAAGGUAUUCCUUUACCUGCUUCUCCUGCUGGAGUUGCCUCAAGUCAACUCCCGGUAAAUGUGGCGAUAUCUGAAAAGUUCUCUUCUGACUCGAAUUCUCCAGCAGGGGAAUGCCAACUUGUGGCUGAGGAGAAACUGAAUUCUGCUGCAGUAGAUGCUGCAUUACUUGCUGUUGUAAGAAAGCAUCUUGCUUGGUUUCCAAUGUGUUUCCUAUUUGUGUCUGACUUGAAGCUGAAAGCUCUUUCUUGGUGGGAUCAAUAGUUGACUUCUUCUUCGGUAAUCUAGCCUGAGACGUACCUUGCUGCUGUUUCCUUUUAGCCACUUGUGCUCGCUUUUGACUUUCGUAUGAUUCCUGCUGCACAACUGAGGAGUCGCUUGUUGUGGUAGAAGCUGCCAAUUUCAAACAAAAAGCGACAUUGACAAUAAAAUCAAAGAUUCUCGUUCAAUGUCUAUUGGAUUCCAACUAGCAGCAUAAACAAAACUGUAAGCUCAAGAAGAUGUCCGAUAUACAAUCUAAAACCUACAUGAAGCAUUCACAAUGGAAGCUGCUACGUUGUGGAAACGCCCUUCUUUCUGCAUCAUAUUGUCUCCAGUGACAUUAGCUGAUGCCAAGCACCGCAAUGCCAUGAGAUAACUGGGAUCCAAAAAAGCCUCUGAUGCCAUCUUUCUUACUGCAUUUGCACAAUGAAAACAAGUCGUUGGAAAACGCCCCAUGCAAGUCAUUCCACACAAAGGGUAUACAGAUAAUCAUAAGCAGGAGUAAUGGACAAUGUGCAAAGAUUAUUUUGCUAAAUAACUACGAUGCUAGCAAGCAACAACAAUGUGAUUAUCAUAACCUUCUGUACCCACCAAUUCCCAAUCUUCAAAACAAUAUCCCAAGGGGGGUUGAAACCUAAAUUGGCCAGUAGAAUCAACACUGCACCAGAAACAAGCAAAACAGCCUUAAAAUUUAAUAAAGAAACCAGCUUAGGCUAAAGCUUCGACAUACCACUCUCAACUCCGCUGAUGGUUUCCUCAAAGGAGUUCCGCGAAAUUACAGCCACGAUAAAGAAACCGAAAAAAGGCACCAUACAUAUCACUUAAAGAAGAAGAACCCUACUAUUUCAAAGCAAGACAUCUAACAAAGCAAAAACCACAGAAAUGGGUAUGGUGGGACUCCCGUACUGGGAAACGCUCCAAAUUUGAAAACCCCUUUAGCUUUAUUUUGCCUUUUGCUUGCUUUUCCUUUUACCACAGACUCAAUCAACCAUUACCAACGAACAAAACCACCAGAACGAGAAGAGAAUCAAGCUGGUGGGUCUCUUCGAUGUUUUACAUAGUAUCCAAAGAAAAGAGACUAAGCAUCAAAAGACACGGACCCAAAGCGGAGAGAAAAAGGCAGAAAGUAGAAACAGAGAAUGGGAUUCUUUACCAAUCCCGCUGUAGCAAGAUUCUCCUGCAAAGCUCGCUCCUUUUUUGGCUCUCCACUACCACUGAUUGUUCUGGUACGGAACCGCCAUGCGCAGAGCUAGAAAACCCACCGAGUGAGUAGACGAAAAAUGAGAAGCAAACAAGCAAUUUUCAUAUAUAUAUUAUUCAUUUUUAUUUUGAAGUUUAAAAUCCAAAAUUCAUUUUCUUUUCUGACACAGUUCUCGAGGUGGCCGUUCACCUGGGAGAGCGGGAAAAGGAGCCGCCGACUAAGGUGACCGGCUAGUGCCNNNNNNNNNNNNNNNNNNNNNNNNNNNNNNNNNNNNNNNNNNNNNNNNNNNNNNNNNNNNNNGAGGUGAAAGGGUCCCCGCCGACUCAGGUGACCGGCUAGUGCCGGUGGGAAUUUCCCUCCUAGUAACAGGAUGGCAGUCGUCGGAACUGAAACCGGACACGUGUGCUUACGGGAUAAGCCACGUAGUCGGUUUGGCUUACGGGAGAAAGGAGCUGUGCGUCGUAUUCUUCGUGUCUAAAUGUUUUAGACCUUGCGUAUACACAUUAUUUACAUAAUCACCACUCUAUAUCUGGGCCUUGAGCCUUUUUGUCGACCGUUGGGUUGUUGUGGUUAUGGGCUAAAAGUCCAGAGAGCUUGUCAGCCCAACAUGUGUUGUAUUCAGUUGCAUUACACGAUUGGCUUUGAAACAUUGUUAGGCACCUACUUUGUCUCUCAUUUAUGGGAUUACGAGUUCGAUCAAAAUUGAACAUAUUUUUUAUUCGUUAUCUGUUAUUCUAUGUAAGCUUUAUAAUAGGUAUGUGGUAUAGUACAGUUGGUAUCACAACGUAUUGAAUUCUCAUUGAGUCUGAUACCAUAGUGCAUCGAUUUCAUAUAAGCAUUAUGAUAGGUUUGUGGUGUAGUUUAGCUAGUAUCAUAGUAUACUCAUUUCAAAAAUAUAUCAAAUCCGAUAUCAAUUACAAACUUACAACUACAAAUUAAAUAAUGUAAGAGCGUUUUGAGAUGUGAUUCAAAAUCUAAUUUUGUAGAGUUGUUCAAUUGAAGUUAGGAAGGAAAUGAAAACAUUAAAAUAUGAUGGAAUUGAACAUGGAUUAAUGCAUAGAAGUAUUGGAAUUCUAAGUUUAUAAUUGUAAAUAAGUUCAUAAAAGGAUACCUAAUUAAUCCUACAACUUUGGUUCGGAUUCAUGUACCUAUUCAAAAAAAAUUAAUGCUACAUAUACAUUGAUAUUAAAAAUUGACGUUUUGAGACCAUUCUAAUCCAUUAUAUUUUUAUAUUUCAUGUGACCAAAAUGAACAUUUUAAACUUUUAAGACUCGUACAUAAUCUUAGCUAAACUUAUAAGACUAGUUAUGUACAUAUUUGACCCCGUUCACAAAAUUAUAUAUGUGUACAUAGUUUAUUGUAACUAAUGANNNNNNNNNNNNNNNNNNNNNNNNNNNNNNNNNNNNNNNNNNNNNNNNNNNNNNNNNNNNNNNNNNNNNNNNNNNNNNNNNAUCAGUUGUGUAUCUUAUCAGAAAGUUAAUUGUUGGAUAAUUUAUCGAAUGAUUGCCAUGAUCAUUGUGUCUGUGUGAGCACUCGAUUCAACAUUCAUUCCCUAAAUAAACAAGUUCAUUGGUUUGCGACUUGGUCUAGUACUAAUAACGGGAACACAUGUACCAAUAGACUCACAAGUCUUGUUUUCUUUGUUAUGGUAAAACAAAUCCUUUUAAGAUACUUCAUCAUUUACUUCCAAAGAGCAAUGGUCAUACUUGCAUCAACCACUUAGUUAAGUUGAAUUGAUGUUAGAAAAUAUUGUGGCCUUGUGGGAGGAAAUAGGAAGAAAAAAAUAGCGAAUAUUUAGCCGGUUUAACUGUCUAAUGAAUUCAAACAUAUUUAUUAUUAUUUAAUUUAACUUUAAAUAAAUGUGUACGAACAAUUUAGAUAGUAACUCACUCGAAAGUGGAUGAACUAUCAAACUCAUCCAAAUCUAUUAUAUCUUUUAUACUCACGUGAUAAUAUUUAUAUUUUUCGACAUUCACCUCAAAUCACUCAAUUCUUUUAAUUUUCAUAUUUUUGUUCAUCAAUUCGUACAAAAUUCUCAACCUCAAUUUUUUUACUAGGGAUGACAUCUUCAUAUAAUAAUUAUGAAUUUUUUUAAAUCUUAAUUUCAAUAUUUUAAUUAAAUGUGAAAAUCNNNNNNNNNNNNNNNNNNNNNNNNNNNNNNNNNNNNNNNNNNNNNNNNNNNNNNNNNNNNNNNNNNNNNNNNNNNNNNNNNNNNNNNNNNNNNNNNNNNNNNNNNNNNNNNNNNNNNNNNNNNNNNNNNNNNNNNNNNNNNNNNNNNNNNNNNNNNNNNNNNNNNNNNNNNNNNNNNNNNNNNNNNNNNNNNNNNNNNNNNNNNNNNNUAAAUUCUUAUUGCUAAGAUAGCUUUCUCGUGCUGCCUAUUCGAUUAUAUUCAUAUAGUUUGUAGUGGGUGUUAUCGACGACUUUCUCUUGAGAGUUCAAAAAAUUUAAGAAAGAUAUCAAAAGGAUGUUACAUCACUUGGACGUUAUAGAUUGAAAAACAAUGAUAUUUGUAGACAUUUACAUAUGUUUACUUCUAUUUAUCGUCAAAAAGGUCAAAUCAUUAUAAAUAAGAAUUUACAUGAAAUUCUAAAUCCAUUUUAAAGUGAAAGAUUAAACCCGACAAUUUCUAACUAUUUCGUCUGCCAAUUAAUUCACCCUCAUAUAUGAAUAAAGGAACAAAUUAUAAGAUCAUGUUGGGAUAGAAUCACUCUCAUAUGAUAAGACCAAGUGUAAUAUUGUCAAGGCUACGUCUCUUCUUGCUCCUUAAUAACUUUAAUAAACGUUAAACAGUCUGAUGACAAACCAUCAAAUUAAAUUAUAACUAAACUUAAAUACGAUACUUCCGAAUUACCAACCCAACUACCACCAUCAGCUGACCAACUCCACCGAAAACCAUCAAAUUAAUCUACUCAUGAACAAGAAACUCAAAUCAACCCAACAAAUCUGAAAUAAAAUACCAAUCAACACUCAACAGAAAUAAAAUAAAAUAAAACUUUAAACAGGAGGGCGAAAUGGUAAUUCAACGACUUCAAUAAGAAACCGAAAAAACCAGGCGUUUGUUUUUAUAUACUAUUAUAAAGUGUGAAGCUUUUCUUCGCCAUUACCAAAUCAACACAAAAGAGGGGGAGGAAGAAGAGAACGAUCUAAUUCUUCUUCCUGAGGUCCUGUCCGAACUCAAGCCAACCAUGGAUUUAGACAUGCAAUCCAUGGCGGAGACGAUCGGGGUUUCGGUCCCCGUCCUCCGCUUCCUCCUCUGCUUCGCGGCGACGAUUCCGGUGAGUCUGUUCCACCGUGUCGUCCCCGGGACUCUCCCCAAGCACAUCUACGCAGCUGCGUCCGGUGCUAUUCUGUCGUAUCUGUCAUUUGGGUUCUCCUCCAAUCUCCACUUCUUGGUCCCCAUGUUGCUCGGUUAUGCCGCCAUGGUCAUCUCUCGCGCCCACUGUGGAAUCAUCACCUUCGUUGUUGGAUUUGGUUAUCUCAUUGGCUGGUGAGUUUUUUUUUCUGGGUUUAAUUUCUGAAAAUUAUUGAUUGAGUUUAAUUAAUGGGCAUUUCCUCGAUCGGUGGUUGUUGUGGUCACUGGUCAGUAAUGUCCAGAAGUUAUCUGCUCUGGUAGUGUUUGGUGGGUUCAAUUAAUGGCAUUGGUCAACUACUGCUUUGAGCUAAGGAGCAUGAAAAAAAAUUGCUGCUUGAAAUUACUUGAACUCUUUCUUUCAUCUGCUCGCUCCCAUAAGUCAGUUGUUUGAUUCCAGAAAAGUUUAUCCAAUCCGUCUGUUUGCUUGGAGGAUCUGAGUUCACUGACUCGGGGAGGACAAACUUUCAUAUCAGACAAAAGAGAAAUCUGGUUAUUGGAAUUAUGGAUAAGAUGAGUUUGGCUAGGGAUGGGUGUUUAUCUCUUACCAAUUACAUGGUUUCCCCAUUGUCUCAUAAAUGACUAGUCUUUACUAUUUGCAUUGUACAAUCAUGUACGUAUGCUGCUCUGGUACUCUUGUGUCCAAGUAAGAGAUUGAAGUUUGCACUUGUCUACCAAGCAUUGUGCAAGUAUGGUAAUAUUGGAGGUUUAAAAAAAUUUGAUGCCAGCACCUUUCAGUCAAAGCAUGGUUUUUAAAAUUGGUGUGAAUUAAAGUAAGGGACUUUUUAAGAGUUAUUUGAUUGUUGAUGCAUUCGUUGCAGCCAUGUAUAUUACAUGAGUGGUGAUGCAUGGAAAGAAGGAGGCAUUGAUGCUACUGGUAAGUGCGACUUUAUAUCUACUGUCUGUCCUAUGUUAGGUGGAUGUUGUUUGUUUGUGUAAAAACUUGAAUCCCUCCUUGCUAAUGUUAUUUCAUACUCAAAAUUAGGGGCACUAAUGGUGUUAACACUGAAAGUCAUAUCAUGCGCCAUGAACUACAAUGAUGGUUUGCUAAAGGAAGAAGAAAACUUGCGGGACGCUCAGAAGAAAAACCGCUUGAUAAAGCUUCCGUCGUUGAUCGAGUACUUUGGUUACUGCCUUUGCUGCGGUACACACUUUGCUGGUCCGGUUUAUGAAAUGAAGGAUUACAUUGAGUGGACGGAACGGAGAGGGGUGUGUUACUACAUCUUUUUUUGUGUGAUUUUUGCACUUGCUGCUGCCUAUGUGUGAAAUCCGGUAUUUAAAUCUACAUUCUGGUGAUUGCAGAUUUAUGCAGGACCCUGGCCAUCCCCGUUUUUGGCAACUCUACGAGCCCUAUUUUAACCAACUCUACGAGCCAUUAUUCAAGCUGGCAUUUGCAUGGGCCUGUACUUGUAUCUUGUGCCUUACCAUCCUUUGUCCCGGUUCACUGAUUUGGUAUAUCAAGAAUGGGGCUUCUGGAGACGAUUGAGUUAUCAGUACAUGGCCGGCUUCACAGCACGCUGGAAGUAUUACUUUAUCUGGUCAAUUUCAGAGGCUUCUAUGAUUUCCUCUGGUCUGGGUUUCAGUGGUUGGACAGAUACUUCACCAGCAAAGCCGCGAUGGGAUUAUGCUAAAAAUGUUGAUAUUCUCGGUGUUGAGUUUGUCAAGAGCGGAGUUGUCUUGCCUCUUGUGUGGAACAUCCAAGUCAGCUCAUGGCUUCGCUACUGUAAGUUUAUAUAACUGAUAAGGAAAGUUCCCAUAUCAAAGUCCUUCAUAUUUUUGUGGUCAUUCCAGCUGGCAACUAUCCCUUGUUUGCUUCAGUUUUUUGUUAAUGAUCUAUUUUUCAUGAUUGAAAGAACAUUUAUCAACUUGGAACACUUUGGUCUGUAACAGAUGUCUACGAGAGACUCGUUAAGAAGGGACAGAAGGCUGGUUUCUUUCAGUUGUUGGCCACACAAACUACCAGUGCUGUUUGGCAUGUGAGUAUAAGUUUUUGGUUAUUAUAUUUGCUUCCUAUACUUCCUUCUGCCUAUAUAGGCAUUUACCUUGAACCAACGCUUUUGUGUGGAGUAGAUAUAAGCUUGGAGAAAGUGCCUUCUGAUAGAAGGGUUUUUUCCGAUAGGGGAUAGUGACUCUAGGUUCAAACUCAGGACAUAGUGGAUAUCUUAUCAUAAAUUGAACAUUUGACGAGAAUCUCAUUUAGCUUAAACUUGAUAUCUCUUCCACAAAGGUUUAAACCUGGUCAAAAUGUAUGGGGUAACUUGCAAUUCUGAAACUUGAUUGUUGUUUGCUUCGAUCUAUGCCGUCUUACUUUGUUUUUUGUUGCCAGACGUUUUUGGUAUCCUUCCGAAUCUAGAGCACUUAUUUUUGCCAUGUUGGUUAUUACUUAUUAGUGCUAUAUUCCAACUUCCUCCUCUCACUUAAAAGGCGGACACUUCCUUUCCAUACGAGAGGAUAGAGAGUGGCAGGGGGGAGGAUAUUAAUAUUAUUUGGACGGAUUCUAUGGUUUUGAGUCGAUUUUGCAAGUUAACAAUGCCAUCUUAUUGUAACGAUGAUUCUUAACCUCAUUAACUUCAUAAUCUGUCUUAAGUGAUGUAUAUCAUGAAAAAAAUUCUGAGAUCUUACAUUGUUUGGCUGCGAAGAUGGUUCAGGGAUGUACUUUGUUGACUAUAACUUGCAAUGUUUAUGUGAUCCUCACUUUGCUAAUUUGCUUGCAUGCUUCUCCGUUGAGCGUUGUAAUCAACUUUUCAUAUGUCCUUCUGCCAACAAACAGGGGCUAUAUCCUGGUUACAUCAUCUUCUUUGUUCAAUCUGCACUGAUGAUUGCUGGAUCCAGAGGUAUUAAAUAUGAAUGCCUUUCCUCUUACUUGUUCUAGAUUCAAAACCAUUUUUCCAGUACCAUAUAUAAUUUCAAUGGUGCUUUCAAUGCAGUUAUAUACAGAUGGGAACAAGCCUCAAAGGGUCUAAUCAAGAAGGUUUUCGCUUUAGCAAACUUUGCUUACACAGUCCUCGUCUUAAACUACUCCUGCGUCGGGUUCAUGGUUAGUCUUCUCUGCAAUCCCUCAAAUUGGAAUAAGCCUCGUUAACCAUUAAUUCCUUAACUCAUCAGGAUUGCCCCUCUUCCUCAGGUACUGAGCUUGCACGAAACAAUUGCUGCUUACAGCAGCGUAUACUACAUCGGAACGAUUCUGCCCAUUGCAUUGAUCCUUCUCGGCUCUGUAAUCAAACCACCAAGGCCUGCUCGAUCGAAGCCCCGAAAGGAAGAAUAAGGUUUAAGAAAGAAACCCUCUCCUCCGGAGAGUGCACAAAAUUCAUCAGGAGAACCUUACAGGACCAAGCUGCCUUGUACCAUUUCUUUUUUCCUCGCUUUGAUUUCGAUACUCUCACUGUAGUUUCGAGUUUAGACUUUAGUUCCUUAUCCAGUCACACUUUCUUCUGUAUUUCAAUCAAUUGAUGCAAACAAUGCACCACCAAAAAAGAGCUAGAAACUGAAGGAAGAGUAACCAGUUAUAGAUCUGCUUUAGAAAUACAUAAUUUCAGGGGAAGUCGUCAAUUCUUGAAAAUUCAGUUCAAUCUCAUACAUAAUUUCGACUUUCGAGGAAGUCGUCAAGUCUCAAAUGAUCUUGUUUUCUAUAGUUCUUCUACAAAUUAUAACAACUUUUCUGACAGAAGAUUAACAUAAUUUAGAAGGACAAAACUUGGGCCAGAAUCUGGAAGAUUAUGACGUUCUCUGUUUCUUGUUACUUUUGUUUUUCUUAGUUAGCAAACCUUUGUCUGCUAAUGCUUUCAACUUCUGCUUCUUCCUUUCUUCAACCUUUUCGUCAAUUCCAUCAUCCAUCAUCUUCAUUGUCGCCACACGUUUAGCCUUAUAUACCUGCAUUAUUGAGUUCAUCCCAUAAUCCACAUUACCAUUCAGAAUUACAAACAAUACAAGCUUAACAGGUCAUGGUUAUCAUUCAAAACAAAGACUGUACCUUUGUAAUCUCCAAAAGGACUUCCUUCUCUUUGCACUCAAACUCCUCAAGCUUCUUGCCAACGACAUCCUCAAUUUUGUGAACCAGUUGGACAUCAUUCUAACAGCAAAAAGAAAAAAAGUCUGGAUUUAGGUCAUGCAAAGAUGCUAACCGACUCACUAUGGAACAGAUGGCGGCAGUAAACGCUUUUAGAUUUACCUCGGUCACGAAACUUAUAGCUAACCCUCCCCGGCCAGCUCUUGCUGUACGCCCCACACGAUGAACAUAGUCUCUAGGAUAUCUGCAAUGAAAAUGACAGUCAACAAACCCGUUUCUAGAGAAACUUUGUGACAAAAGCAGACAAUAGAUAGAAAUCUUUGAUAUAAGGUAGAUUUUAAUUUUAACCUUGGAAGAUCGUAGUUUAUAACAAGAUCGACAGUCUGAAUGUCCAGACCCCGACUGGCGACAUCUGUUGCAAUCAAUACAGGAACUUUCUCGGCCUUGAACUCAUGCAGCGCAGAGAGUCUCAGGGACUGUGCAUUGUAGGAAUGUAGUGCUGCAGCCUUCUGGCCAAGUACUUCCAGUAGCGAACUUAGAAGUUGGCAACUCCUGUUUCCAUGUUCACAAACAUAUAGGAGACAAUAAGGGUCUGAACAGUUCGGAUCAAACCAAAGCAAAUGAAGCAGUUAUGAUUGCGACAGAGACAAAUAUAAUGACACUACAGAAGCUCCCUCCCUAGGAGAUUCCACCAGAGGAAAAGGAAUGAAGUUCGAUUGAAUCUUAGUUCAAUAGAACUCUGAAAAGUAGACACACAGAAGUGAUGGUUACAUACCAAGUCCUCCAAGCAAGAAAUGAGAAACUAACAUAUAACCAAACUGAAGAUUCCAGCACAAGUACGAUUCCUCUCUUAUGUUCAGCAAAUGAAAGACUCUAAAACGUAUACAUAGGGAGAUUUGGAUUUAAACCUGCAAGUGGAAACGAAUAUCAUAGCUGAUCGAAUACCCAUCUCUUCCAUCCUGGACAGAAUAUAGGACAGAUAAACCUCCUUCACGUUCUUAGGUAUGAAAACAUACUGUUGCUUCAGAGUCUCAACAGUCUUAAACCCCUCAUACGCCUCGUAGAAGUACGCCUUAUUUGCCGAAACCUCCAGCAGCGUCUCCAAAUCACUCGUCAUUGUUGCAGAAAACAAAAGUGUCUGUCGAUUCUUCGGUAAGCACCGAAACACCGUUCUCAAUUCCGCCUCAAACCCGGCAUCCAAAAGCCUAUCCGCCUCAUCCAGAACUAGGAACUGACAGAAAACAUUUGAGCAAUUCCAUACAGAGCUAAUAAAUUUCUCUAAUGCUAACAAAUAUUGAUUCUCAGUUUAUUAUUUAUUACCUUAGUUCUGGAGAAAACAGCAGGCAAAUCAGGAUUAUCUUCCAUCAAGACCUUAAUCCUACCAGGAGUGGCAAUGACGACAUGAGGCCUACGCAUCAACAUCUGAGAUUGGUUCAGCAUAUCCAUACCGCCAACCACAACCGUACACCUCAAUUGCAAAGAAGAACCAAGUGCUUUGAACUGCUCAGCCAACUGAAAAGCAAGCUCCCUGGUGGGAGUCAUCACAAGCGCCGCCACUCCGUAAGGAUCCUCCGCCAGACGGUGGAGGAUCGGGAGAGCGAAAGCGGCGGUUUUCCCACUUCCGGUCUGGGCCAAUCCGAGGACGUCACGGCCAGCUAGGAUUUUGGGGAUGCAGUGAGAUUGAACCGGAGUUGGGCGCUUCAUGCCCAGCUCUUUGCAUGUUUGGAUUGCCCAAUCCGAGAGGCCCAAAUCUUCGAAGGAAGUGCCGUCGGAUUCUAAGGCGGCGGAUGAUGAUGAUGUUUCUUUCUCAAUUUUGGGAAGUUCCGAUGGAAGGCUGGGGCUUUCCGGUUUAACGACUGGAAUCGAUUUUUUCAGGGGUCUGCGGGGUUUGGAGAAGAGUUGGAAACCUCGAUCAACGAUGGUUUCUUCUUCAUGGUCUUCCAUGGCUACUUGCAGCUGCGUACGGCUCGGUCGAGCCGGAAUUUUCAGCAGUGCAGGUUUGAACUGGAGAACCAGGGCAACCAGCUGAAGGGGGAGAAACUCCGAGAUACCGGCGAGAGGAGAAAGAAGUACAACAGAGGAUGGAGAAUCAAAGCUCUGAAAUCUGAAUAGUGUUGGCGUUCCGGUGGGAAGAGGUUUAGCUGCUGCGGCUGCCUGGUUUUGGACUGUACGGACUUCUCCGCAAAAUGCUGGGCCGAGAUGGGCUUUAGACGGUGGCCCUUCAAAGCCCGACUUUACUUGAACCAUCGACAUAAAUUACAGAACCGAGUCAAGCCGAGUUUUUAUUUGGUCUGGGUAGACUCAAAUUUGGGGUUGAAUUCGAUUAGUGCUUUUGCAUUCGAGUUUGAGCUCGUCUCAACUGGAAAUUGUGUAAUGUGCUGUGUACGACUUGAAAUUAUCAUUAACAAAUUAGUUCGAUAAUCACGAAGAGCUCAGCUCGAUAACUAUAAUAACCAAACUCGACUCAGCUCCAAUCAAACAUGUUUAAUAUGGACUGAUCUGGUCUUAAAGCUCGUUGAUGGCCCUAGGUCCCAACUCCCAACCGAGAACUAUGAACGAUGUCCUGAUAAAGAGCUCUGCUAGGAGCUGGUUCGGUGGCUAUAAACGAACCAUCUCGCAAGCCUAACUCAACGGACGGAAUGACUCGAGCUCGACUCUAUCCGAAUCCUGAAGAAAACCAAAUGACAUUUCUCCCUUUACUUUCAUGACUAAGACAAAUUUUAAGAGAAAACCGAAAAGAAACAUAAACUGCCUCUGCUGGAAGAGUCGUCAUGGACGUAAACAGACAAACCCAAAAAUCUGACGAACAGACUUUUUCAAAGUUCCUGAACAACCCAACAGAGAUCAUGCCAAGCUCUAGUAGAUUUCGAGCUUUGCUAGUCGCUACUAUGGAAGUUUGAGCAGCUACACAUUGACUGGCAUGUCUACCUUCCUGGGACGAUGGAAGAUGUGUUUGUUUCCUGGGAAAGCAGUACGAGAGAUGUCUACCAGUGCCUUGAAACUGUACGGCUCGUGCAUGGAUACCUCUGACAACACUUUCCGGUUCAGCUGGAUGUUCUCUUUCUUAAGCCCAUGCAUGAAGUGUCCAUAAUGAACCUACAGGACAGAUCAUUCCAUGGGCGAUCAUUGCGCAAUAUAGCAUACACAAUCAAGUGAUCAAUCGUAGUACAGCAUCAAACUCGAUGAGUACCAAUCGGUAAAGAAAAGUCGAGAUAUGAGAAGUUACUUACAUUAUGCUGCCUGGUGCCAGCACUGAUUCGUUGAAUCCACAGCGAGCGCAUGUCACGCUUCUUGUUCCUACGGUCCCUGUAGGAAUACUGCAACGCCUUCUCAACCCUCUCUCUCGCUAUCCUGAUGCAGUUCUUUGCCCUCCCCCUAAACCCUUUUGCUAGCUUGAAAAUCUCCUUCUUGUUCAACAUUUUUUUGACUUUCUUUUUUGUACGGUCUACAAGAUAGGUUCCCCAAAAUAAGAUUCAAAGUUUGGUACGAAAAACAGCUGAAUCUAAUUAGACCAGCAAACUGAUAAACUAAGAGUGGACAUCACAUCGUCGUCGAAUUCCACCAUUUACUUCCAACCAGAAAGAAGUAAAGAUCAUGAACGUAACACUAGUUUCUGUAUGGGCAGUAGGGAUGGCAAUGAACCGAUACAGGGCCGGUGUUAUAUCUACAGUUGCACCUGCUCAUAAUUCAUAUACCAAUCCCCAAUUCUCAUUUGGUUUGAUUGUUUCAAUGCAAUAGUUAAGGACAGCAGGAAACAAUGGAAAUCACCAAAGAAGACAACAGCACCCUUCAGAGAAAACGGGAAAACAUCAUAACUGGUUUGAUUACAAUUAGAUUCACCAUCAUAACAACAUGAGCAGAAACUGCAGGGAGACUGUGGUGGAAACUAUGAAUUGCAAUUUUCAUUCCAUUAUUGCAUUUUGAUUGAACUGCAGAAGUGAACUACGAUAAAAGCAUUAAACUUGCAAGGAUCCUUUCAAAAGUAAUUCCAGGUCCAAAAGCCAGAAUCAAGUCUCAUUCACUUUGUGAACUGUAAAGUGGAGCAUUUAGCCCAAGAAUAAAAAUAUAGAAACAGAGAUAACGAUCUAGAUCAUCUGUUCAAUAUUGGGGUCAUUUUACUUCUCAGAAUGAAUAAUAGUAAUCAUCCAUAAGCGGAAAAGAGAGCAAUUUCAUUUUCGCAAAUACCCAGAAUGAAUAGCAAGCAAGAGAAGUAAAUAAUACAUCAAUACCUAGUACCUCUUUGAAAUGAUGCUUCUUGGACGAAACUGAUGAAAGGCCAAGAUAGAACAGCUAACCAGGGAGAAUCAAAGAUUUCAACUGGAGAAGCAGGGAACCGACUGAUAGUGUAGAAGCUCCGAGAUACGGCGAGAGGAGAGAGAAAGAAGUAUGGGGAGACGGUGUAAGGCGGCGGAACAGACAAACAGGGGAUGGAGCGGCAGAGUAAAGGUUUCCGGUGGGAUUUCAAAGCUCUGAAUGGUGUCGGCGUUCCGGUGGAAUAAGGUUUAGCUUCAGCUGCCUCGUUGUGGACUGUCAGUCCUUCUCCGCAAAAUUGCUGGGCCAGUCUGGGCUUUAGACUGCGGCCCUUCAAAGCCCAACUUCACUUCAACCAUCUAAACAAAUCACGAACCGAACCGAGCCGAACUUUUGCUCAGUUCAGGUUCAUCUCGGUUAUUUUUUCUGGUGUCAAGCUUGACUCAAGUUCGGUCCUUACUUUUUUAUCUGAUUUCGAACUCGUCUCAACUAAAAAUUUCGGUUCUGAUUCAAUUUGAAAUUACCGUUAACAAGUUAGCUCGAUAACCAUAACGAGCUCAGUUUGAUUCAAAACAAAAAACCAACUUUUAUAAACCGAAUUUGAGCUUGUCCUCCAUUCAAACAAGUUUACAAUGCAUUAAUCUGACGUCAAAGCUCAUAAUCAAAGUCACCAACCACUAGUUGACCCUUAUUAAGUUGAUUCGUGGACUAUCUUAACCGAGCCACCUCGCGAGCUACAAACGAUCCAUCUCAUAAAACUAGUUCCAUGAGCUCUCGAACCAAACAAAAGUUGGCUCGAACUCAGCACAUUUAAUGAACUGUUUUGUUGUUUUUUCGAACGGACUGUGGCUCGACUCGUCAACCCGCCCUUAAAAGGUUGUAUCUUGACUCCAAGUUACCCAAUUCACCCCUAUUGCAGAUCUCCAAGGCACCAAAAACUCAUAUUGGGAUUGCAAUGGAUUCAGACUACAGGCUACACAUCAACACAAAGUUCCUUCUUUCAGACAAAAUACAGAACAAAUUUGACAUCAAAAGUUAAAAAUAGUCUUUAAUGGCCACCACCUAGCUACAAGGGUUGGUGUCAAUUCAAGCAACGACAGAAAGUUCUGCAACAGUAAAUGCAGCAGACCCAGUUCCUCUUCCACUGGUACCAGAACCCUACACAUGGCUUUUCCACAGCUUCACAUUCAUGAAUUUGCAGUGAUGAUUUAAGUAGUAGGCCAUUUGCCUGGUCAAAAGAGAAGAUCUUUACACUUUGUUAAUCAUCAGAAUCAUCAGUGGGCCAAUUUCAAAUUUCCCCAGUUUGUCUUUACUAAACCUUUUGAACAAUACAGCUAAUCUGCAGUACUACUGAGAUUGGACAUCUCAGCUAACCCUGUAUUGCAAAAUUGAAUACAUAUUUAUGAGGCAAAAGACAAACGUAUCACAUUGCAUUAAUCUAAUCGUCCAUUGUGAUUAUUAAACUAUGUUCAUAAAUCAUAAUCCCUUCUCUUCAAGUAAUUCUCUUGCUUUUUCCUCCACCCUUUAUUCUUCAUUUCCCCUUGUUUCCAGUUUCUCUCUCUCUCUUAGGACAUGAUCUUCUGAAGAUACUUUCUCCCCAGCCAUUGUUGCUGCUGGCUUCAUGAGAAAGAUUCAUCCUUUUUCUUCAUGCGUAUCUGGGUUACCUCAAACUCAACCAAAGUUUCCAUCUUUUCUGUCUCUUUUUUCCAUUUGAUGAACAUAUGGAGGAGGCAAUCAAGUCAAUGAUGAGAGUUGAAGAAUUGGAAAUCAGACCAGGAGGAAUGUUGGUACAGAAGAGGGAUUCUUCUGAAUCCAGAAAUCACAGUUACAGCAACAAUUCAAUUGUUGUUCCUAUGAUCAGAGUCAAGGUCAAAUUUGGAUCUUCGUAUCACAAUGUUUCCAUCAGUUCUCAAGCUAGCUUUGGUAAAGUUAAGCUUUCCUGAUUAAUUCAAUGGUGUGUACUUAAUUUCUUUGGCUUUUCAUCUAAGUUUUUUGGUGAUGUGUUUCUCUGGCAGGGGAACUGAAGAAAAUGCUGGCAGAAUCAACAGGAGUUCACCAUCAGGACCAGAAGCUGAUGUACAAGAAGAAAGAGAAGGAUUCCAGGAUGUUUUUGGACAUUGAAAGAGUGAAAGAUGGAUCCAAACUUGUUCUAAUCGAGGACAUCAGCAGAAGCGGAAGGCGGCUUCUUGAGCUGAUCAAGACCUCCGGGCUACAGAAGGUUUUGAAAUCCAUUGAGCAAAUAACCAAAGAAGUUGAUACACUUGCUCACAAGGUACAUGUGAAACUUGUUAUAUUGGGGGCUGACAGGAUCCUAUCUCAUGAUUUUUCAGUCAAAUUGGACAGUGAAAAAGCUCUGAUAUCAUAUGGAAGAAUCGUUAUAUCUUAAUAGUUCGAGUUAUUGGGAGAGAUUUGUAAUUAGUUUUAUAGCUUUCCUUUACUUGCAGUAAGCUUCCAUUGUUCAUAAUAAGUUUUGUUGCAGGUGACAUCCUUGGAAGCAACAAGUUCUCGAGGAGGGAUAGUAGCGGAGAUUGACAUUGAUGAUCUAACAGAAUCGUCAAUGUCAAAACUUGUGGAGCUAGAUAGGAUUCUGGUAGUGGAUGGAACCUUAAAGUUGCAGAAGACAACUCAGGUUUUGUCAUAUAUACACAAACACACAAAAGCUUUGUUUCAAAAGUUUGAACUUCUGGAUGAUUAUGAUGAAUUGAUGAUGAUGUUCUUCCCUUUGUAAUGAUCAUAUAGGAAAGGCGGCUUCAGAAGUGCAUAGAGAGUCUUGAUAAGCUGAAGUCAGAGACUUGUUCUGGCAAUCACAACAGCAAAAUGAAGCAAAGGCAAAAGCUUUCUGAAGCAGCUGCGGUCACCACCACAACCAAAUGGGAAAUCUUUGAUUGAUUUCUCAAGUGGGUUUGCCCCUUCUAGAAGGGUUAUAGUAAUCUGAAACAUGUGAAGCUAGCUAGCUAGCUAGCUCAUCAUCAUCUACAGGAGAAAGGGUAAGAUAUGGAUGGUUGAGUUCUGCUGUCAAAUGGGUACUUUAGUUUCUUCACUCUCAUUCAACCACACACAAAGAAUUCAGAAAAAAGUUGUAUUUCAUCAUAUACUUACACAGAGUGCCUUGUAAUUAUUAAUAAAGGUGUUGUCUUUUUGGAUCUUUGCCAUUUGGGUUGGUCGGCUGUGGGAGGAUGCUAAUGAUUAAAUUGUGAAAGAUGCUAACUUGUUAAAAUAUAUUAAACAAUUAUUCAACAAUCCUUCACAAUCACUCGUAUAAAUAUUUAAUGUAAUACUUGAUGAAAUCUUCAAACCCAUCCAAACUCAACUCAAAUCUUUAUAUGAAUGCUUGUUUUAUAUGAAUUCUUGAUGAAACUUGCACGUUUAUCUUAGUUUUAAUUAAUUUAUAUGUGGUUAAUAAUGUACUAUAUUCGUAUCAUAUUUUACUAAUUAGAGUUUUGUAAUCGUUAUGGGUUACCUCACCGGUUCAGGGUCGAACCGGUCCGACCAGUUGGUUGGGUCCGGUUCUGAUAAUAAUGCAAAUAAUAGUCAAAUGAAGUUAAAAAAUAUUUUUCAACAUGUUAAAAUAACACCGAGUAAAUUUGAUUUUUAACUUUGUUUGGUCAUUCUUUACAACGGUUAACAUAAUGACCCGUGAUUUUUUAGCCAUUUCCAACAUAUAUGUGAAUUAUUAGUCGAUUUGAAAAUUUGGAAAUUUUUAUGUGAAAAUGGCCGAAUUCCAUAGGUUAACCCCUUUGGAAAUUGACCAUUUUNNNNNNNNNNNNNNNNNNNNNNNNNNNNNNNNNNNNNNNNNNNNNNNNNNNNNNNNNNNNNNNNNNNNNNNNNNNNNNNNNNNNNNNNNNNNNNNNNNNNNNNNNNNNNNNNNNNNNNNNNNNNNNNNNNNNNNNNNNNNNNNNNNNNNNNNNNNNNNNNNNNNNNNNNNNNNNNNNNNNNNNNNNNNNNNNNNNNNNNNNNNNNNNNNNNNNNNNNNNNNNNNNNNNNNNNNNNNNNNNNNNNNNNNNNNNNNNNNNNNNNNNNNNNNNNNNNNNNNNNNNNNNNNNNNNNNNNNNNNNNNNNNNNNNNNNNNNNNNNNNNNNNNNNNNNNNNNNNNNNNNNNNNNNNNNNNNNNNNNNNNNNNNNNNNNNNNNNNNNNNNNNNNNNNNNNNNNNNNNNNNNNNNNNNNNNNNNNNNNNNNNNNNNNNNNNNNNNNNNNNNNNNNNNNNNNNNNNNNNNNNNNNNNNNNNNNNNNNNNNNNNNNNNNNNNNNNNNNNNNNNNNNNNNNNNNNNNNNNNNNNNNNNNNNNNNNNNNNNNNNNNNNNNNNNNNNNNNNNNNNNNNNNNNNNNNNNNNNNNNNNNNNNNNNNNNNNNNNNNNNNNNNNNNNNNNNNNNNNNNNNNNNNNNNNNNNNNNNNNNNNNNNNNNNNNNNNNNNNNNNNNNNNNNNNNNNNNNNNNNNNNNNNNNNNNNNNNNNNNNNNNNNNNNNNNNNNNNNNNNNNNNNNNNNNNNNNNNNNNNNNNNNNNNNNNNNNNNNNNNNNNNNNNNNNNNNNNNNNNNNNNNNNNNNNNNNNNNNNNNNNNNNNNNNNNNNNNNNNNNNNNNNNNNNNNNNNNNNNNNNNNNNNNNNNNNNNNNNNNNNNNNNNNNNNNNNNNNNNNNNNNNNNNNNNNNNNNNNNNNNNNNNNNNNNNNNNNNNNNNNNNNNNNNNNNNNNNNNNNNNNNNNNNNNNNNNNNNNNNNNNNNNNNNNNNNNNNNNNNNNNNNNNNNNNNNNNNNNNNNNNNNNNNNNNNNNNNNNNNNNNNNNNNNNNNNNNNNNNNNNNNNNNNNNNNNNNNNNNNNNNNNNNNNNNNNNNNNNNNNNNNNNNNNNNNNNNNNNNNNNNNNNNNNNNNNNNNNNNNNNACCUUUACCUUCACAACACUUUCGUAAAUUAAUUUAUAAAUUUUUCAAAAUUAAAUUUCAAUGGAGACGGAUAAAUUCGAAAAAUCAAUUUAGCGGGUAUGAUUCAGAGAUGAAUAUUAUAUUAUCUCUCUCACACCCGCCCAUGUAUACAAUUACAUCAUUUUAUGUAAUAAAUAUAUGCGUUCUAUUUCGUUAUUCUCUCAAUAUAAAUUCUUUCAUAUUUUCCUUUCUCUUUCAACUCAACUUUCCCAAGAAACAUUAUCCUAGUUGAUUUCGGCUAUUGGAUAAAUAAAUCCGAUUUGGGUUUUGAUACCAUUCAGGUGAAAAUUCCUUGGAUAAUCAAAUCCGAUUUGGUUUUCGAUACAAUUAUGUCGAAUAUCCGAACAAGUAUGAUUUAACUCGAUCAACAAAGCCAAUAGUUCUUCAUUUUAUUACACUACCUUUAGCCUAAUUUCCUACUACUUAGUACCAAUAUACCCAAUGUAGGACUUAGUAGGAGACCCAAACCACAAGCUCCCAUCCCCAUCUUCAAAAACUUCACUAACCGAAUCCAACUCCUCCCCGCCUUCACCGUCCACCGUCUUGAUGAUCUCGCCGUGUUCAUUCACCUUCACGGCCACCGGAGCACCGGUACUGGUGACAUGACCGGUGGUCGUGACAUUGCCAAUGCCGGGGUUCAAUCCGACCCAGAAGUGUUCCUCCCCAUCAGGGAUAGUAGGAGCCCUCCUUAUGUUGUCGGGGAACCCUGGAAGUUUGUCCGCGAGCACGAGAUAAAAAGGGUGUCCGAGGUUGAGUUCGAAUUUAAGGAUUGUUUUGCUUGAUGUUAAGGUUACUAGUAGGUAAGAGUUGUCCUUGUUGAGUGCCACUCCAUUGGGGAAAGCCAGCUUUAUUUCUAGACUUUCCAGGCUCCUUGUUAGAAGGUUGUAGCUGAAUACCCUCCCUGUUUGGUCUUCGGUUGUCACUAUUUUCUGAGCAUCCCUGCAUUUCAAUAUCAAUCAAAGUUACUAUGAUUUUCGAGGACGGUAUUCGGACGUCAAACUGGUUAAUCUAAUGGUAUAUAGCUCAACUGUUUAAACUAUAAAUUUAUCUCGAAUUAUAUCAAAUUGAUCAAGGUCCAACUAAUUAGACAGUUUGUACCGAUAUAGUAAUUCUAACUCGACUCGGUAGGCAUUUCAGCCAUACUAAAGUUGGUAUGUAACUCAAAUUUCACAAAACAUAUUUGAAACAGUUUUUAAAAUAACUAUUAUACCCUUAAUAAAACACAUAUUCACUAUUUUGCUAAAAUAACUCAUAUCGUAUUAAUCAUAAAUAGUGGUUUCGAGGUUCUUCCUCUUUUCAGAAAAUCUAUGAGUUCAACAAUGAUGGCUUCGAAAAUCUCUCUUUAUUAGAUCGAUUCGCUUUUCACAAAACCAUCAUCGUAUUGAUGACUAAUAUGAUAAUAGUUAUUUUAGCAAAAUAGUAAAUAAUUUUUUUUAUUAAAGCCGUAUACAUCUAUUAAAAUACAGACUGCGCGAAAUAAAAUACAAAUAGAUAACACCCCACACAAAAAAAUUAAAAGCCCCACCAUUCAAACGUAAUUGUAGUCAAGCCUUACAAUUUACAUGACCGAUAGGUCUCCGUUUCGAAUCCCGAUAACUCUCAAUCGGUGCACAUGACGUAUCGAAACGGUGCAAACCUCAACUCUUAUGAGAGCUUCCGUUUGAGAGGCUAAUAAUAUAAAUAUCAUCCAUAAUCCUCUCCUAACAACUCGAAUAAUAGAAAUUCAAAAAAAUCUUAACAAUUAUAUGAUGUACCUGCUUUGAUAAACCUGACUUGAAUCGGUGAAGUAGACGGUCCCGGUAGUGGAGUCAAUAUCCAGAGCAUUGAUGAACUUGAAAGGGACACCAUCAGGGUCCGACGACACAAGUGUCGUAGCCACACCGCCGUCCGGUCCGGCCGACAUCACCCCAAAGUAAGCAUCAGCAAUGUAUAGCUCACACGUUCCUGGGUGGAACUUCAACCCCAACGGCCUCCCACAUUUGGGCUCCAAGCUUGGAUCCACUAUCCCGUCGCAAGCCGCCCUAUCCCUGCACAAAUCGAUCGAUGGAAAAACGACGAAUAUUUAACAAACUUGACCAAAUUUCUCCUAUACCAAACGAACCAUAAGGUUUUCAGAUUUCAUGUACAGAGAGUGUAGGCUAGCUAGUCUUGCCUGUUUGGCGAAACGACGAAUUCGCGCCAACCGCGGGAUUCCCACUUGAAGACCCUUCCGUCGGAGAUACCAACGUAAGGGCCUUGUCCGGUGCAGUCGAAUGCUACGCUUUCUGGGCCGACAAGUCCUGUCGGAAGCUCGAGUUUCUUGAGUUGCUGGAGAUCGCUUGAGUUAUUAUUGCAGAGCAUUGAACAAAAGUUGAUGCUAAGAGAGAUGAAGAACAACACAAGUGAUAUUGUGUCCAUCGUGGUGUGGAUUUGAUUGAGUAAUCAAGUGUAAGCAGCAAAAUGGGUGUUAUAUAAUCCAAGAUAUCAAAUGAGUCGGGAAUUCAUUUUAUUUCAAAAUGAAUUACUGUGCAGAAUUGGAAAUGUUGACAUAUGAGCAACUUCUUAAUUGGCAUUAUUCCUUGCCGGUUUAAUGUAACGGGUGGGUUUCGGAUGCAUGUUCGAUCCCGUUCCCUAAUUCGAUCCGUUGCUAAAGACUAGAUAUUAUUUAAAAGGAAAUUAUAAUAUUUUAUCAUUAAUUAAUUUCCAUCUAAUCUUCUCCCUAUUGUAUAUGGUUAUUAGUUAUGGCAUAUUUUUCUGAAAAAUAUGCCAUAACUAAUAACUUUCCAAUUCUUUGGUAAAUUUUGUUAAAUUUUGAAUUAUUAUUUUCCAAUUCCGUAAAUAUUAUUUGAAGGAAAAUAAUAUUUAUAUCAUUAAUUAGUUUCCUUAUAAUUGAAAUGGCUAAUAAAAGUGGAAUCCAUUUUGAACAUUGCAAUUACCUCGGCGAUCUACACGAUAACCAGGACGGAAUUGAGAGCUUUAAUAUGGGUGUAGCUGGAUUCGCAAGUCGUAAUCAAGUUAUUGUUAGCGGAGGGUGAGAGCGCACACCAACACUCUUUUGAGGUCAUCCAAUUUCGUGAGAUGGGCUAGGCCAUUAAAGUUGAGCACAUUUAUCGGGAAGGCAACCGGAUCGUUGACACACACCAACACUCUUCUGAAGUCGCCCGGUUUUGUGAGAUGUUGGUCAGGACUAGACGAUCAAAGUUGAGUACAUUUAUCGGGAAGGCAAUCGGGCCUUUGAUUUCUUAGCAGCCCUAGGUCAUCGUUUACUUAUUGAUGUUUAUUCUAUUCCUAUUUAUGAUCUUACACCUUUGAUACAUAUUUUAUAUAACUUAUUUGAAAUUUUUCAACCUCAUUCGAUUAUAAAUAAAAAAUAAAGGCAAAGAAUGAAAAAAGCCUCUUGAGAAUCUCACCGUGUUCAUUCACCUUCACGGCCAACAGAUCAUCGGUGACAUUACCGGUGACAUUGCCCAUGCCGGAGUUUAAUCCGACCCAAAGUGUUCCUCCCCGCCAACAAUAGGAGGGCACCUACUAAUGUUGUCGGGGAAUUCUGGAACUUCUGCAAACAGCUUCGGUGUAGGGAAUCCAGGCUCUGGCAUGAGAUUGAGUGGGAAUUGAAGGAUCAUUUGAUCGAUGUUAAGGUUACUAGUAGAUAAGAGUUGUCCACGUUGAGUGCCACUCCGUUGGGGAAAGCCAACGAUGUGGCUAUAAGUGUCAGGUUCUUUGUGUGAGGAUCGUAGCUGAAUACCCUCCCUGUUUGGUCUAGGGUUUUCACUAUGUUCUGAGCAUCCCUGCAUUUACAAUAUAAAAAAUCAAAGUUUGUGAGUUCAUUCAUUCAACUCUUUAAGCUGUAAUUAUAUCAGAACUGAUCAUUCGGUGAAGGUAGAGAUUUUCGAGGAGAGAUGAAAGAUAUGAGCAGUAAUUUAUAUUUAUAUGCAUACCUGCUUUGAUAAACCUGAUGGUCCCGCGAAUUUUACCCAACCGUGGGAAUCCCACUUGAAGAUCCUUCGGUCGGAGACACCAACGUAAGGGCCUUGUUCUUCGCAGUCGAAAGCUGUGCUUUCUGGGCCGACAAGUCCUGUCGGAAGAUCGAGUUUCUGGAGUUGGUUGAGAAACGUCUGAUUACAGAGAAUUGAACAAAAGUCGAUGAUCAGAGAGAUGAAGAACAACACAAGUGAUUUUGUGUCCAUGGUGGUGUGGAUUUUGAUCGAGUAAACAAGUGUAACAAGUUGAUGAUCAAAGAAUGUAUAUUAACUUGGUCAAUUUUGAAUUAUUACUUUUCCAACUGUGUAUAUAUUAUUUUAAGGAAAAUGAUUAUAAUAAUAUGUAGAGUAUAUCAUUAAUUUGUUUCCUUAUAAUUGAAAUGGCCAAUAAAAGUGGAAUUCAUUUUCUUUAUAAUUAAAAAAAAUCAUUUUAAUGAUGGCAAUGGGUACGGGACGAGUAUGACAUAUUUAUCCUCGGUUCAUUUAGUUAUUUGGUUUUAUAUAUAUCCACCCGUUUGGAUAAACAGAUAUAAUAUGAAAACCAUACCCGUUCAUGUACGGGUUUCGGAUUUACCCGUUUAAUCCGAAAAUUACCGACGAGUUAAGUCAUGUUUCUAUGCAUCGUUAUGCAUGGACGUUGGUCGUGCGUCGACAAUUAACCAUCAAACUCAAAGUGAAAUCACAACACCUGAAAAUCACAACCAAAAUCAAAUUAAUCCACGUGAUGAUUUGACAACAUCAAUUCAAAACAGGCAAAAUUCAACGCCACUCUCUCCAAUUAGUUUUACACCUGCCGACGUGGCAGCAAAAACCCACCAAGAAAUGAAUAAACAAAUACUUCGUCUGGAAGACAACCCAAACCAAACCAAACCCAACCAGUCAAACUCAAGUCAAUUGGGCCCCACUCCAAAUUCUCCUCGUUUCCCUUCUCUUUCCUUUUCUCCUCCCUAUGGAUAAACCGUGGGACUCUUUUACCCCUAGCUGGCAACAGCGUGUCAAAACUCAUUGGCCACCGUUUUUCCUAUAAAUAACCAAAUCGCCACUCCCUCCUUUUUUUUCAAGUAACUACCAAACCAACCAAAACUAACUACUCUGGCAAAUGGACAUGAACUUCAACACUCAUCAUUCAGUAACCGACUCCUCCUCCUCCGACGGCGGCCACAAGCUGGCGGCGGAGAAUCCGAAGAAAAAAGCGGGAAGGAGGGUGUUCAAGGAGACACGUCACCCUGUGUACCGAGGAGUUCGCAAGAGGAACGGAGACAAGUGGGUCUGCGAGCUGCGCGAGCCUCACAGCAAGACACGUGUUUGGCUAGGAACUUACCCGACUGCUGAGAUGGCAGCCCGUGCUCAUGACGUGGCAGCCCUCUCCUUCCGCGGGAAAUCCGCUUGCUUGAACUUCGCUGACUCCGCCUGGCGGCUCCCUCUGCCCACUUCCACUGAUAACAAGGAUGUGAGAGUAGCUGCUUCUCGCGCCGCCGAAAUGUUCCGUCCCUUGGAUUGCGGGAGUACCGGCAGUGGAAGCUCUUUCAACUCCCCUCCGGCUGAAAUCAGCUCCUCCGCCGCGCCUUCGGCGGCGGCGGAGGAGUGUUGGUGGAGUGAAGUUAGCAGUGGGGGUGGGAAUGGUGAUUAUAGUACUAAUGGUGGGUAUUAUAUGGAUGAAGAACUGAAUAUGCCGAGGUUGUUGUCGGAGAUGGCGGAAGGGCUGUUGCUGUCUCCGCCGCCGAGUUACGGAGCAGUGCAGGAGAGUGGUAAUUAUGACGAUGAUCAGCGGGGAUCAUACAAUGCUGGUAAUGAUUGGUCGUUGUGGAAUUAGCUAGUUUGUCCAUCUUGUUGAUUUUGGUCGUAGUAAGAUUGUGAUUGGUCCAUUUCGGAUUAUAUUUCGCCUCGAAUGUUUCUCUUUUUCCGGAACACAGAGGAGGGAAGAGUUGAUAGAACUUUAUGUAAUGAAAUUGUCCCUUUCAAACAUAAUAUGUAUGAACCCGACAUGUUUCUUUGAUCGUUGGCGAGAGCCGUGGAGCUUUGACCAUAAAAGAGAAAGGAAUCAGAAAGAAUGUUUCAGUCACUCAUGGAAUCAUGGUCCACAUGAAUGAAGUGGGCCAAAAAGGACAAGAAUUUCUGAAAAGAUUCUGUAAUAUUUUGUUAAUCCCCACGUAACAAGAGUUCAUGUCCUGGUCGAAUCAGGAUUUGGAGCUCUUUCUUUGGAUGAGGGGGUUGGUCGGAAUUGUGAUGGUUGUUGGCAGUUGAAAACGAGAGACGUUAUGUUUGUUUGUAGUUGCCGGGAAAUCAAGCUGGGAAAGAAUAACAUGGAAUAUUCUACUUAAAACGGAUAAUAUUAGAAUAUUCAUUAGUCAGCUUUCUUCCACGUGUCAACGCGGGAAAGUUAUGACCAAUCAUCACCGGCUAAAAGUAAACUAACUGAAACGGUAACAGCGUCGUUGUAUGGUGCUACGUGGCCUAUAAUGAUUGAUCAAUAGGAUACGAAAGGGAAAAGACAAAAAAGUCCAUGUGGACUAGUAGUAUGAGAGUAUAUUCCACUUCUUCUAAGAAUCAGAUAUUUUAUUUGUAUAUUUCAUGCUAACUGAUCACAGUCUUUGACCCUGCAUGGGCCCCACCAUACUUUCCAGCUAAUGACGUGGAUGACAGCAGUCUACUUAAAAUAGAAACUUCCAACCCAUAUCCAUGGA